Molecule: long non-coding RNA, 64582 nt
Filed under: Linum usitatissimum (flax)
Lineage: Eukaryota; Viridiplantae; Streptophyta; Magnoliopsida; Malpighiales; Linaceae
Description: long non-coding RNA (LUSI_LNC004988)
Source: RNAcentral
GCAGGCUGAGAUGUGGAAGAUUGGGCUAUGGUGCGAAAGCUCUUUUGUUGUUUUAAUUUCACCAAGGCGGGGCUGGGUUGGUUGAGUGGUCUCAUUGCGAAUGAAUAAAAGGGGGGAAUGGGUAUUAAGAGAUGGCUGAGAUUUAGUUCUAGUUACUUGAACUCUGCUCUGGAUUCUCGAUUUUAAUCUGUUUACUUCUUCCUUGCUUCUCUCUAUUGGACAGAAUAUUCACAGAAUCACUCUUCUUUGCUCUCUACUUUCUCCUUGUCUCAUGAUUUUGGUGCGUUGGAUCAAUGGUGCGAAAUUAACGAGUAUCAACGGUGGACUGGUUCGGCUUUAUAUAUUUUGUUCCUGAACGAAAUUUAAAACACUGCAACACCAUAUCCAUCGUUGUGGCUGAAAACCUUGUAUGUUUAUUUGGAAACCAGACGUAGAGACAAAUUUAUCUCAUUUUUGAACUGGCACUCUUAUGCGUAAUUUGUUUGAUGCUUGGUGUAAUUUCUCAAUUAAAUCUUCUAAUUCAGUCAAUCAAAUCAAAAAAGAAAACUAUAGACUGGGAAACUUUGCUGUGGUUUCUGUGGGCUUGUGGGGGCAGACUUGGCAUGCGUUUGAGCUAAAGGCAUUCAGUGUUUGGUCUGGAUUGGAAAGUAUUGGUAAACGGUAAGCACAAAACAGUGAGGUAUAUGAUGAGUAAGUGUUACUCAUCCGAAUAAAAAGCUUGUGGCCGGCAUCCCAAACUCAUCCUAGCAUGUAGAGCUCAUUAUUUCCCACCGAGGUGGUCCUAUUUUAUUGAUAUGCUCAAACAAGUAUGCAGAUUAAAAUGCUUUUCCGAGCCUGGAGAUAUACAACAGGCAAGCAUUCCACAAAGUUGGCAGUAAACAACACACGACCAGCUGGAAACGGUUUGUCGAAGUCAGGAGUCACAAAAUCUCUUGGACAAUGCCCCCCUCAAGAACAAGCAUGAGAUGGCGUAACUGAACCCCCAGAGCAGAGAGACACCUAACACAUUUCGCAUCUUCUUGAUUAUAAAACUUAAUAUCAACCAUGUCACUAAACCAUCAAACUAACUGUUUGGGGACAUGAAUUUUAGACUAAAGUGAUAAUUGUUUCCAGUUGCAACUUGCAACAUGAAACUUUAGUAGUCGGUAUCUGUAGCGGAUAAUGAUAAAUUCAAUAAACAAAAAGGGGAAGGUAAGAAGUAGAAUCAUAGAGAGUGCAUGAGAAUGAUGUGAAAUGGAAUCAAACGAACUCAAGAGGGUCUGUGCAUUAAGAAGAAGCCAAAAAAGGGAGAAACUGUGAGUUCACGGGCUUGCUUCAUACUGUUGCAUUUCCACUCACACAUUCCCACUUCCCUAUCACGUUUCACUCACUCUCUCAACUCUUUUCCUCCCCCCUGUUCCUCUGCAUCCAUCUCCAACUUAUUUGUCUCCUACUCCAACAAGCAUACGACUAUGAAAUGCUAUUCUUCUUCAUCUGCUUUUCACCGACAAGCAUUAUUGCUAGCUGCGGUGGUACUGGUGGCCUUGGCGGCUUGUGUUAAAACAGGGAAAGCAGGGGAAAUUAGUAGUGUGUCCAAGGUUGAAGAUGCGGAUAACUUCCAUAUAUACUACGGACAGACCUUCAAAGUGAUUAAGAACGCCAUUGAUGGGAGAAGCUACCUUCUGAUCCAGAACAACUCCAAGAUGGCUGCUAGGACUAAGUACUGCACCCAGCGGAUCAGAUCUUUCCUCGUCCCUUUCUCCAACUUCUCCGCUGAUACUUACUUUUUCCCUGGUUCGUUCCCGCUUUAUUUUUCCUGCUCUUUCUCUUCAGUUCACCUCCAUGAAUAUAAAGUACAUGUCCUUGGAUCAUAAUAUAUCUCUAGGAUAUUCAAAGAUUCUGGGCAGUAUUUUAAGUUUGAGGUGUAUUUGAAAGCAACCCGUGUUAGAUUCCGAAAUAAUGUACAUUGUGAUAGUUUUACAUAUAAUUUCGUCACUUUAAAUUAAGUGAUCUUGGACGAUGAUCUAGAUUCGCCCACCCUGUUCUGCCAUUAUGCCUAAUUUAUCCGCCAACUUGUAUAGUUUAAUUUUACAUAUGUAGCUAGUGUCUAUUAUGUGAACGGGAGUCGUUCAAAUCCCAUAGUUUCUGGUAUUUGUAUAGAACAUGCUCUCCGAGUCGAAUCCACUCCUUGCCGAUACAGUUUAACAGUACAAUCGUAAGCUUCCCAUUAUCGUUUGGUGAUCCGGUUCUCGUAGUUUAGGGGAUCAAAUCAGUCUAGUAUAGCUUACUAACUGGAACAAAUAAUUUUUUUCAUGCCACUUGUAAUACUUCAGUAGAUAAUAUUCUUUUUUUUGGAUUUUGUUUUUGCAGUUUCCUAUUUCGAGGUAAGCUCAUUCCAAAUUCUUACAUGUCAUCUGUAAAAUCAUCGAACAAAGAAGUAAAUAUCCAUGUGUUGCUUGAAAUGAUGAAUAUUGUAGUUGCUAGGAUUACUUGGGAACCUGAAGGGAAUGACAACAAACGCAGUGGCUUCUGUAUGCACCCUGAAACUAUACGAAAAAGGCCAAAUCGCCGUAGUUAAUUACAAGGAUCGACCCCAGGAUUCGACGCAGUUCGCAGCCAAUUUCGUUACGAACACAGAUGUUCAACCGCAACAAACCUGCAACUACGCCGACUUCCUGCCUUUCAACGAGGAUCACCCUCUGCAGCGAGCAGAGUGGAUCAAAUUCAUUGCUGUUUUUGCAAACCUUGAGGCAAGGGCCAACCAAGUGUACGACAGUGUGAGUCUAGACCGGCCGGGUUAAUUAAAAUGUUUCUGGUUAACCGAUUUUGUUGAUGAAACUUUCUGGUUAUUCUGCAGAUUAAGGAAAAUUAUAUGUGCUUGGCUGGAGCUGCAGCCAACCAAACCAGACCGUUUAAGCCGGUUGUUGCCUGGUUGGGUUUUUACAACGUAAGUAUGCAAGACCGGUUCACAACCAUCCAUUUUAUAACAAAGUUUCAAUGAAGAAAUUAAUAUUGAUUGGAUAUUAAUUACAAAAUUUUUUUAUUUGUAUUGUAUGCACCAGAACAUUUGGUCUUUUACUCAGGACAAAUCCAAAUUGAAGGUAAAUUAAGUAUGCUGUAUUUUUUUAUUGAACAUCAAUAGUAUUGUUCAUAACAUUUGGAUUUGGAUUUUAUGUUAUUUUUUAGCAUUAACAUUUGGAUUUUAUGUUUAUUUUUUUAGUACCAAUAGAGAGAUUUAUGUUAUAUCGUUUGCCUAAUAAGACGAUGAUGCGGAAUAGACAGGAUAAAAAAUCAGCAUGUAAGAAAGGAAUUAAUGUGAUGAUUUUCAAUUCAAUUCUGUGUUCUAUGUCAUCACCCUACUAAGCAAAUAAACUGACAUGUCAAUCGACUCGAAAAUAAAUUUAAAAUAUCCUUCAUUAUUUAGUAAGAUGGAUAAAAAUAAUCUAACGAUGCUAAGAAAAAUAAUGCCCGUGGUUGUGAUGCUAAAAGUACCACAAAUGGUUUAUCAGGUGGUCAAACAUAAGUGGUAUCCGAUACAUUUUUAUUCUGUUUUUAACAAAAAAAAUUAAAAUUUCAAGUAUAGUAAACAUUAGUGUAAAAAUUAAAUUAACUAGUUCAAAAAAAAACUUGAAUUUUUACAGUAUGUGGAAGAUGCAGGUGGGGAGAACAUGGACAUCUCAAUAAACAAAGUAACCUACAACAUCUCCAACCCUGAUGAUCUGGAGGCACUCCAUGCUAUCCUUUGUGUAAGCUGAAAUUGUUUGUAAAAUACAACAUAAAUUUUAUAAAAUUAAUGAACGGUAGACGUGGUAAUCGACGAAACAGCAACUUCCGAUCCGGCGGCGUAUACAGUGUCAAGCUUCCUACAGAACGUCGGCGUCGAAGAUCGCUCUUGCUUUGCCUUCCUAUCUAACCAGACCUUGUGGCGAUACGACAAGAGACAGUACAAUUCCACCCUUGGUAACUUUAUUUUUGACCUCUGUUAAUAAUUAACCAUUGAUAUAAUUUGGCUAAUUAACUAAUUGUUAACUACCUGUUGUGGAAGUGAACAGAUUGGUACGAUGGAGCAGUGUCGCAGCCGCAACUGGUUUUAGCAGAUCUUAUUGAAGCAUUUCCCCCCACUGCUGCAAAUUCCACCACCACUUUCUUAAGGAACAUUGCUAAGGUUUCUGCAUUGUCUCUGUUAAUUUCGAAGGUUUUGUUUAGAUGAUUACUCUGCUUAUUUUUUUUUGUUUAUGUGUGGUUGCAUGAACAGGGUGAAGGUGUUGUGAGCUUAGAUGGUAGCAUGUGUGACAAGGAGGAUUUCUCUGCUCCCACCGAGCCGACCAUCAUUCCUUGUCCGAAACCGUAGCUCGAUUUUUCGGAAUACUGGCAGGUUAUCGGUUUGAAUUGCUUUAGUUUGAGGAUUUGUUAGAUAUUCAUGAGAGUCUGGGUUUGUUGCUCUUUAGUAAGAACAUAUAUACACCAUUCUUUUGAACUGCUUUUAUAUUACUAUAGGAUGGUAUAUUGUCUCACAAGAUGGACAUAGACUUUAGAGUCGAUCUUUUGAUGUUGUAGUGUCAUUUCUGAACAUUUGUUUUAUGACGAGGAAUCCAUUUUACCGGCAUCACAUUUAUGUAAACUUUGUAGUUGUCGACCUUCAGUAUGAGUACUUAUUUAGGUAGACUGGAGGUGCUACAAGAGGGUAGUGAGGAGUGCGCUUCCCGAAAUCCAAAUUUGGGAUCUCCGGAUUGAAAACCGGCGAAACUACCACCUCGACUACACCAUGUUCGCAUUUCUGAACAUUUUCUCCUUGUUUGUACAUUUCUGAACAGAGAAUUACUUGACUUAGAUUUGAAUACAGAACAAAAGUAAAUUGAGAUUCUUAUUCAUAUUCCAACAAAAAAACAGAGUCAUCACCAGUUUUCAAACCCUCCAAGAAAAUGGGGGAUUGAGUAUACAUAGUGAAAGUGGACUUGUUUCAUCUCACACACACAAAACCACUAAUCAUCAGUCAUCAGUAACACAUGGAAACACUAGGGCUAGCUAGUUACAUCUUUUUCCUGAAGUACUAGUGAAAUCCUUCAAGAGGGGUUUAGCUAGUAUUUCACUUUCAAUGAGCAGGGUUCCAUGUCUGAUGCUGCUGACUAGCUGGGUUCAGAAAACUGUACAUCUCAUUCUCAGAGAUGCAACUCAUGUACUUGUUAUUGUUCACCACUUUGAUUCUUGGCUCUCUUGGCGUAGUCAGUGGCCUGUUUGAUCUGCACCAUUAUAUUACCAUCAAAAUUGAACACAUUAAACCGACAAUUAGAAGAAUGCUAAUCAUGUUUAAAAAUUCAUGUUCACAUCUCCAUAUAAUACCUCUGUGGGGAGAAAGGUUUGUCAAAGUAGGGCAUCAAUUGAGCUCUGGGAACCAUUUUCUUCCUUAGCGACUUCACUUCUUCUUCAUCAAUCAACUGCACCACCAUCCCAAAAGUCAGACGAAUGAGUUUAAUUUUGAUAGCUUAGUUGACUAAAUCGGAAUUAGGUGAAGUGUGCAUGUAAAAUCAUUUUACUUAUUAUGGACCUUUUGGAGCCUCUCUAGCUGUCUUUUUUCGUACUCUACGACGUAGAUUUUGGUUGCAACCUGAAGAAAGAAGAUAACAAAAGUUAGCAAAUUCGAAGAUUAAGCAUUGUUUUUCACUGUUUUGGGUCCACUUUCAAUCAGAACUAUUGAUCAUGCCAUAUUAGGAUGGUCGGAGUCGGACUUAGCAAGAAUUAGACCCCGAUUGCGGCGCAAUUGAAUCCAUCGUGUUUUUGUGUUUGGAAAACAUUUUCGGUCGGAAAUUCACUAAUGUCAGAAAUUGGGUCCAAAUCCAACUCCAUUUUCGAAGCGAAAAGCAACCCCUUAAUCCCUAAAAAUAUGAGUGAAAAUUUGCAAUGACUACGAUUUUUAGGGAAUUGGCUCUCACGUAAUAGUUGAACAUGGCUCGUCUCAUAGCUCUUUCUUCAGAAUGGAGUUUGAACUCCUGGUUGGGCUUCUUCGUGUUUGUGUUGUUCUCUUUGUUGGAAGAAGCUCCUGGGCUCAUUCUUGGGCUUGUCUUUGUUUUCUCCACGGCCCGCUCUUUCCCUUCUUCUUUUCUCUGCAGAAAAGCCCAAAAUAUAACGUUAAGAAAACAGAAAUGAUUCAUAUGGAGCUUUUCAUCUGGGCCCUGGCCUUUUGUUAUGCAGGCCUGAUAACUAAACUCCUCAAUUAUAAAAAAAGCGGAUAAUUUUUUUUAAAAAACAUAGUUUCUGUGUGGUUAUUACUUUUUGAAAAUUGAAAUCUACGAGGUUAAUCUAACUUGUAAUUUUUUUCACAUAAUAGCAUAUACUUUCGUAUAUUCAAUUUCACUUACGAAUGUCGUUAAGAGUACGUUGGUUACUGCAUUAAAAAUAUAGUAAAACGAACGCGAACACGACACGAAUGCAUAGGCAUCUUACCAUUCCUCUGGUAGGAGAGCUCAUUGUAACUGAGGAUUGGGUGCUAGUCUUCGUGGACUUAGUGUGAACUUUGUCCAUGCUUCCCAUUUGGUUUGUUGCACUCUUAAGAACACUUACUUGAGCUUGAGCACCCCCCUUAACUUAAGGACUCUUAAUAAUAAUAGAUUAAAACUUGGAGAGAAGAUGAGAUGUGGGUUUUGUGUGAAAUUAUGAAUAGAACAAGAGUGAGAGGAGAGAAUUUAUAAUGGUUGGGAGACUUAUCUAUUCAUUCAUUCAUGGCUCAUGGCAUACAAGUGUUGAAAAUUUGUGGCUUUGUUGACACCAAACUUUCUGAUCAAACCUCACUCUCAUCUACACACUUUGUCACUUAACUACUUCCCCUAUGUUCCUUCGUUUCUCCUCUUUGCUAAUUCAGCUUAAGGAGAAUAAUAAGAACAGAGCUUUUAUUCAUUCACUGUCCACAUCCCAUUAAGGACCCCAUGCAUAUACAUACUACUCUCACAAUCUAAUUGCCAAAUUGGGUUAAGUUAUUCUAACACAAUUGUUCAUAACAUACGUACAUAUAUACCUAUGUUGUGAUCAGUGACGGAUACAAGGAUGCUUCUCUCAGGUCACAACUCAUCUCAUUUCAAGGUUUAGAACUUCAGCACUAUGCAAAUUUUCUUCGUAUAUUUGGUGCUUAAUGAGUCUAUUUUCAUACAUAUGGCCCAAUGCUUUUCCGUACUCUCCACCCUAGCUAGUGUACCGAACGGUUCUGGCCUGGCUACUGGUUGUAACUCGUACGUGUCAAAUUCAGACUUUCUUGAAGCCUGAGAUGAUAUAUAAAGAUUCGAGAAUCAAGAUUCAGUGUAUGGAACUAAAUUGCGGUGUAUUCAAACGAUCAAAUAGACAAGUGUCUGGCAUUUUUAAUUGUAUAGGGCGUGUACAUGUGUUCUUGAACUAUCUAAUAACGUAUGUAAUGUCCCCUAACUUGUCUGGGGCUUCAGAGACCAUUAGAAAUAGAACUUAAAAUUGUUCUACCAUGUAAACCAUUCGAAUUAUUAGAAAAUACUCGAAUUAAACCGAUGCUACCAACUACAAAUGUGUACAGAGAUCGCAGUAGUAAAGCUCAGCCUCAGAAAUUUUCGUGGCUAGGAACAGAGUACUGGGUUACCACCGUGUAGAACACUAGAGCUUUAAAAACAGAAAAUUUCAACUGAGAGUUGAAUUAACAUUCAAUCUAUUUCCAGAAAUAUCGUCUCAGCUACUUAGCUGAAAUUAGCCAGUUAGUAAUCGUACACGAAACUUGGCUAAUGUACUACUAGAAGUGGCAAAAUAUACAUGGCCCCAAAGGCAGUUGGUUGUCAUUUUCCUGUAAACUAAAAGUGACUAACAAACCAACGCAAGCACUUGAGUGGGUUAGUUAAGCAUCCCACUAUCCAACUCUUUUCUUCCUCAAGCCGUUAUCCAACCACAACAAGGAGUCUAAUUAGACCCGUUUGAAGUUUGGUGAUUCGAAUUCUUCUGCAUCAUAACGGCCGGGUUAGCCGAGUUUGCGAGUGGUACAAUACGGACUCAUUGGACUUUGUAUUCUAAGUGACACUAUCCGUUUAGUCCUAUGGGAUAUUUGAAUUAGUAAGUUUUUGAUCGAUGAUGGAACUUCAUCAGCCGCCAUGCACCCCGUGAUUUUUUCCGGCAAAACUUUUGCAUAUGUGUAUCGCUCGUCUCGAUAUAAUUUCAUUUGUCUAUUUUGCAUGUCGGUUUCUAACAAAAUCCACUUUAUUAAACCUAUGGCUUAAGGAUUUUCCUCGGCAUUUUUUGGGUUGAAAAUGAAUGCCAUGUUUUCUAAAAAUUAUUCAUCUCCAUAGGCAUACCCGCCUCCGGAUAUAAUUAGGGACGAACUUGAAUAUUGAGCUACCUGUCCAAACUCAAAUUCAAUUUUUGAUAUAUAAUUGACAACAUGAAAAAUGUUCAUUUUUUAUCCAACCUGACUCAAACCCGCCGUCACUCCUAUUUGAAUCGGUCCCUCGCGAUAACAUUAGGAAUGAAACCAUUGGCUCCAAUGAAAUGCUUUCAACUGAAGCUUUCAAUUAGCUAAUUAGUUAAAUGUGACACUGAAAAAGGGUAAAGAGGGAUUCAGAAAUUUGGGUUUGCUGCUGCAGUAUCAAUCUCAAGCUUUUCCCUUUUGUAUUAACAAUUUGGAUGCUUGUGUGAGAGUAAUUAAGAGUGUGGUUAGAUGGUGUUGACACAUCCAUUCUGUUGGAGAAAUGAUGGCCAUAUAUUCAAUGGGUCUUCUGAGAAUGUACUACUUUUUUCUCUCCGGAGAAAAUUACAGGCCACCACCCAUCUUCAUACUUCAAAUUAUAGUUAAACAGCUAGUGAUGAUCUGGUUAACGUUACCACGACGCAAUUUCCGGGUCGCUAUUUGCUUCAUCGUCAGGAAAAAUUGUCAAUGAGAAUGGCAUAUGAUGCCAAGUGCAGCCGACCUACUUAGAAUCAUGUAUUUCUAGCAUAGACAUGUAUUUUAGCCAAAGAGUUGUGGGCUGGUUUGAGCCCUAAAGCAGAGUUGAAAAUCCACCCGUACGUGUUAUCGAAGUUGGAUGAAAUCCUUCGAAUUGGAUGGCGACAUAUGGUAAUAUUUACAGAGUACGCUCCCAUCCCUGAGGAUGUGUGCUUACAGACCAGUGGCAUCGAUACUGCUACUUACGGCCAGCAUCAAUGCCAGCAGAGGAGACCCCUUCUUGAAAGUCUGGAAGAGCACUACGAGAAGAAAUCUGCAGGAAAAUAAACUCAGUGGCAAAGGGCAAGAGCCACCCCUGCCAGAAAACCUAAGCUACUCGAAGAUCCGAUUCUAUGCCUAAGAAGAAGAGAGCUGGGGAAUGUCUUGGGUGGGAAGAUGAAAGCUUUUCGAAUCGAUAGACAUGACAAAGCUUGAUAAUCAGCUUAUGGAAUGCUUGGUCAGGUUGUUUUUUUCACUAUGAACCCAAAUUUGAUGUUUUGAGUUUGGAAAAGAUCAAUCGACUGAUUGUGCAGGGAAGAAAACCCAGAACAGCAUACCUAGUUGAACAGCUAAAAGCGUCCUCAUUGGUUGUCGCCAUACCGCUGGAACUUCAUUCAAUUAACUUAUGCUAGACCGACAGCACUCAACUCAUCUGGUUACUAAAGCUGCCUGAACAGAGGACAUUCUAGUUCACAGUCUCACAUGUAUCAAGAUUUCCGAGAGCUUGACAAUCUUAAUCAGCAGAACUGUAGUUUUGUUGUUCCGAGAAAUCAAUUAACGGCCUGGUUUUUCAUCUUGUAAACCAAAGCCUCACUUAACCCUAGUCCGUUCUUACUGUGCAACCGAAGAUCGCACCAGAUAACCGGCAUCUACGAGUUGAAAUUACAAUCGACCAUGCAGUGAAAACACAAACCCAACUGAGCUUAACAAAGGAACCAAAGAGCAGCGCUUCUAUGAACAUAAAGGUGUUUGAUAAACCAACAAUAUGCCUGAAAGAGAACCCUAAUGCUUCAAGUCGGUUUUCUAAGCCAUAAAAAAAUGAAGGAUGCAACUUUUGUUGAGGACCAAUUUACCAAAUCAUAAAAUUAUAUUCUUAUAUAAGAUAUGAUAUCUUCUUCCUGCACACAGCUAUCCUUCUUCAUUGACACCUACACUCGGGCAACCAAGCAAUCACCCAAAUUCAAGAUUUGAAAGCUUAGCUAAAUCCGAUUACCUUUCUUCAUAUAUUGAAACAAACCAAGAACGCAUAAUUUCAACAGUGAUCGUGCAUAAACUAGGUUUAUUAAAAUGAUUCCAGUCUACAAACCGUUGAUUAAACCGGCGAUAGCUCUAAUAAACUAGCCACAAACUCCCACCAUGCAUGAGCAAACAAAAAAAUAAAGGGAUUCGAGUACACACACAAGGCAACGGAUCUAGAACUCGAGCUUGAGCUCUUCCUUCUCAGCGGCGGAGAGGUAAUGGAGAAGGUAAGGACUGAUACGGAUGACGGCGACCCAGGCAGUGAACAUCGCGGCGUGGUAUUUCAGCUCCUUGUACGCCGCCGCCUUGUCCGGCUUCUUCAUGAACAUCCCCGGAAACAUGACCGCCGACGAGUGAGCAGGGCAACUUCUCUUCUCUGGAUUUUUUUUCUCUAAAACCCUAAAAACAACGGAGCACGAGACGAAACUUAGUGGGCUUUUGGGUUUCCGCCAAAAGUGUUUCAGUUUUAUAGCAAAUGCCACCUCGGCACCGCCCUUUCGACGUAGACGGUCUAUUCGAUGCUAGUAGCGAGUCAUUAUGAAACACGUGUUCAUAUUUGCCACGUCAUAGUAAAUUGAAAUGCGAAUGGCUCGAACAAUUUCUCCUCCGGCUUUUUCUCCCCAAUCAACGCCUUGAAUUGAGUUUCUUGAUCUUUGCUCGCGCAAAUUCUCAAUCCCUAGCUGCAAAAUCUCCUCCACCAAGCGACGGAAAGGGAAAGAAAAUCGUCAGGAUUCAUCUCUCUUUUCCGUUUUAUAACCCGCGAUAAACAUAACGAUGGUGGUCUUCAUGAUCUGAAAGGAAUCCAAGCAGGCGCCAAGCUUCAAUUCUAUACCAUCAUGUUUGGCGGGAUACAGCUGGGAAUGCUGCUUGCUUGCAUUGUGUUGUUUGUGCCUAUGGUAAUGGCGGGAUGGCAUUUGAGCCGUCACAAGAUGCUCUUCUUCAGCUGCGCCCUUUUCAUCAUCUCUCUCGCGGUAUGCCUCCACUUGACUCCUUAUUUCCCUUCCGUCAACGAUUUCGUUACCUCGGUCCAAUCAGUCGUUAUAUUCGAUAACCAUGAAGAUUCUUGCAUUAACUUGGUGAAUGAAAUUGCCUGGGAUGUCAAGCAACACGGUAAUCAUGUAGCUCGAGGUGACGCAUCGCCGGUUGUUUAUGAUAAGAAUUGGGAUUGGUCCAAGUCUUGGAAAGUGAUGGCGUGUGAGUUUCAAAAAUUAGGCAAGGGGGAUAUUUCGGACUUGCUCAACGGGACGUGGAUUGUGGUGGCAGGGGAUUCACAGUCACGGUUACUGGUUCAGACAUUGUUGGGUUUGGUGUUGGAUUCUGAACGAAUGGAAUCGAUCAAAGGGGAGUUGUUUAAGAGGCACAGUGAUUAUGGAAUUGUUGUUGAAGAAAUGGGAAUGAAAUUGGAUUUCGUGUGGGCACCUUAUGCUGAUAACUUGACUAAUAUGAUGAUGGGGUUUAAGCAGAACGGAAGCUACCCUGAUGUUAUGGUAAUGGGAACUGGGCUGUGGCAUAUGCUUCAUGUCACGAACGCAUCGGAUUAUGGUGUUUCUUUGAAGUCGCUGAUGGGUACAGUCUCAGUUAGGUCGCCCCAUUUGUUUUGGCUUGGCAUGCCGAUGUUGGUAAAUGGGAUGCUAAACACGGGAGAGAAGAGAGAGAGAAUGACUGAUGAAAUGUGGCAUGCUUAUGAUAAAGUGCUUCGUGACAGUAGGCUCUUGCGUAGAUAUGGUGGACCGUUUGUGUUGCUUGAUAUUCAAUCCUUGAGUUGGAAUUGUGGUCCUCGUUGUACAGUUGACGGACUGCAUUAUGAUGGAGCUGUUUAUGAAGCAGUUGUACAGAUUUUGUUGAAUGCAUUGCUUAUAGAAUCUCAUCCGACGUUCAGAGCUGAAUAGGAUCGUUUUGUACAGGGUUCAGUUACAGAUAUUGCGCGGCAUAAACGUGCAUGGUGUCCUCCAGUUUUGGGGCUUGGAUUUCAUCAAUGGAAGUGCUGUUAUAUCAUGCUUUAGUGGUCAGUUGUUUUUACACGUUUCUCCCUCUAUGAGUCUGAAGCCUUUUUUGGGGUGUAUUCCUGGCAAUUCUUGUUCUCAUUCUUGAAAUGGCUUAUCCUCUUUUUAUUUUUACUUCAUUACAUUUCAUUGAUAUUGAAUAGUUUCAACACUUGUAACAUAUUUGCUAUACAUGUGAAGGAUUUCAAUGAACAGCCAGUACAUUCUUCCCGUCCAAAUGCAAUGUUAAAUUCAAGGUUCUUUGUUCUUACAUAUUCUGUCAACAGAGAUGACGGGGUUGAAAACUAAGGGUACUACUCCUGUGUGUUUACAAAGGAAAGAGCAUAUGCAAAAGCAGUGUGUUUAAUUAUUUCAUCUCGAGAUACAACCUGACGGAAAGAUACCUCUUGAUGUUUCUAUGAAUCAAUAAGCCUGCUUCCUGAACAGCAUACUGUUUGCAAAAAUAUCGUUAGAGUUUGCCAUGAGAUUACAAUUGUGGAUGGAUUAAGCCUCACAGGAAUUCUUCUGUGCAUGGAGCUUAAUGAGUUGCUUCUUCAUGACAGCACAUAGUUUAUUUGUAGCUUAGUGUUUAUGGAACUUCUCUGCCGUAAAACGUCUUUUUCUAUUUUUCUGCUGAGAUCUUGUCAGAGUAUGCCUCUUGAUUCCUGUCCAGGUAAUCAUCAAGUUCGCUGUUGCUUGAUUAUUCAUUGUAGUAGCCUAUUUUGCAUUGUUACUGAUUUCUGCUUGAUGAAUGAUGAUCUGUAAUAGCAAGUAGCUGACUGGUAGAGUAACAUCAUGGAUUUCCAGCUUUGAGGCAUUACUCAAACUGCUAGACCACAAGAAGAAUGCAAUGCAUCUAUACCAAAGUGUGACGGAUCCCUGCUGCUCGGAUAUAAGCAAAUCAUAUAUAUGUCUUUUUUCACAUCUAUAUCAUUGUUUUAUCACAGACAGCCAGGUUUAAAGAAGCAUGAAGCAGCAUUAUCAGAUGAAAAUAAACCGCAAGUUAUGUCUCUACUCUGGAAAUUACUAUAUUAGAAGCUGCAGAGAAGAUGGGUUCAUGGAUCAAAGCUAGAGACUUCUCCCACUUUCCAACACUAAGGCUGAAUUCGUUUAAUUUGGUACAGGCAAUGGGGAAACUAUGUUAAACUAGAUGGAAGUAUAACAAGUCAACUUUAUUCGAGGAAAUCACCAAAAUCUGCGGCGCAAACACUUGGGAUUUGGGAAAUGGCAAAUCCCAAGGGUUGUCUCACUUUCUGCAAGCUGAUUAACUAAUAUUGUUGCUAUUUGAGCAGGGUAGACUUUGGUUUAAUGAACUGAGGCGUGAGACUCGGAUCUACAAGCGGCAAGUGCCUCGAUUUCCACCGACAUUAAUGCUCCAUUAAUAUAAGGUAAUGAGACUAGUACCAAGUUUACGUUUUCUCAACUUAAAUCAUCAAUAUAAUAUGACUAAUUAGUUUAUUAAUCAGAUUUCUGUGAAAUCUGGACAAAACUGGUGUGUUGACUAUGCUGCAUAUUAAACAUUUAACUUUGACACGUAGAAUAUCUACUUAUAAUUUUCUUCUUCAUGUUUAUGAGAAUGCACAUUCCUCAUUUAAUGUCUUCAACGAUAGUCUGUGCAUACAGCAUGCAUAUAGAGUUGAAGAGUUACAUUAUACAUCUACUGAUCUACACUGUUAUAUUAUAACUAGUUUGUAUAUGUCAAAGUUUCAAACUUUUCCCAAGCUAUGAGCAUUUUUUAUAUACUCAUUUGGUAGGUUCGUAAUAGAAAAUUGAACUUAUUGGCAUCAUCAUCAUCAACGGCUCCCCUCUACUUCACAUAAAUUAUAUUUCCCUCUUCUUCGUCUCAACCAAACCUCCAAAAACCAGAAAAAAAUGGAUUCUCCUCAUAAACAGAAACCUCUAUCGACAAACCUCUUCUUCCUCUUCCUCCUCCUCUCCACAAAUCUCGUCACCCUCUUCCUCUCUUCCACCUUCUACACCUCCUCCUCUUGCUCCCUCUCCUCCACCGCCCAUUCCCUCAUCCCUUCCACCGUCUACUCCUCCCCCGCCGCUGCUGCAGCCGCAGAAGAAUCUUCAUCAUCAUUAGAGUCAACCAGCAGCAGCAGUACGGAUGAUGACGUCGACCUUCCAGCUGAGUUCAUUGCCUUCACGUCAGGCCAAGUGCUGCCUUUCGGUUUUAACACCAACUUCGACUCCGACAAAAUCUACCCUCCGGUGGGGAGCUCGUGCACCCGCUUCCCUGACGAGCUCCGGCAGUUCAUGUCCUACAAAGUCAACGGUUCAUGUCCUGAUGAUGAGCUGCUUGCUCAGAAGCUUCUUCUUAAAGGAUGCGAGCCGCUUCCUCGACGGAGGUGUCGUCCGGCGAGCCAGAAUGAUUAUGUAGAGCCUUACCCUCUGCCGGAGUCGCAGUGGAAGACCCCGCCGGAUUCCACCGUUGUCUGGACUGCCUACACUUGCAAAUCCUUCCAGUGCCUCAUUGACAGGUAUUCCUUAUAACUUGGCAAAGUAAUUAAUUACAUAUUUUUCAUCUUGUUAUUUUGGUUUCUUAUAUUAUUUUCUUGAUAGACUUGGUCUCGAUUUACACUUAACACUCUCUAUUUGACUUGCACAUUAAGCUUGACAACUUCAGUUCAGGUAUCGAUAUUGGAAGUCAAACAGUUGGGUCCAGGAGUAGAUCUAAUUAUAAAAGAUCUAACUGUAGAAAAUGUUAUAAUCAGUUAGUAUGUCAACAUUGAAGAAAUUAGGGUCGAGCCAUGAUUGAAACAUGUACAGAAUUAGACUCAUCCUGAACUUCCCCUAUAUAUCUAUGUCGAUGGUCGUAUUGAAAACAUUGUAACCACUAAAAUCCUAUCUACAGGUUCUGGAAGCAGAAGGGAUUCGACGACUGCAAGGACUGCUUCGACCUAAACGGCAGAGAAAAACACCGAUGGGCACCCCGCCCGAUCAUCGAAGGCAGCCUCGACUUCACCAUCGACGAGGUCCUGGCCACCAGAGCCCCCGGAACAGUCCGAAUUGGGAUAGACCUUGGAGGAGGAGUCGCCACAUUCGCCGUCCGGAUGAAGGAGCGCGAUGUUACGAUCAUAACCACGUCGAUGAACCUCAACGGCCCCUUCAACAACUUCAUCGCGGCUCGAGGUGUGAUGCCGAUGUACAUCAGCAUCUCGCAGAGGCUGCCGUUCUUCGACAACACGCUGGACAUCGUGCACUCGAUGCACGUGCUCAGCAACUGGAUCCCGACCACGCUGCUGCAUUUCUUGAUGUUUGAUGUUUACAGGGUGCUGAGGCCGGGUGGCGUGUUCUGGUUGGAUCAUUUCUUCUGUGUCGGGGAUGAGCUGAGGGAUGUUUACGGGCCGUUGAUAGAAAGUAUUGGGUUUAAGAGGGUGAAGUGGGUUGUUGGCAAGAAGGUUGAUCGUGGGGAAGAGCUUAGAGAGAUGUACUUGUCUGCUUUGCUUGAGAAGCCUUUGAAGAACUCUUGGUGAUUUUGAUUGCAUGAGUAAGUUAACGACUGUGUUUUUUGUAUUGUUGUAGCUGGGGUAGUGUUUGUUUUAGCUCCCAACUUGCCAUUAAUACUAUACAAUUUACCUUAGCUGGAGCUUUCUUCAAGUGACUGCCUCUGGUUCUGGUUUUGCUACAUCUUCUCUGUUCAUUCUCUGCCCGGAUGGUUGGUUCAUGGCGGAUAAUAAGUAAUAACAUGAAGAAACUUUAAUUUGUUGCUUUCCAAAAAAAUUUGAUCGUAUUCAUUAAACCAGUAUAACCUCACUAGUCACGGGCUCAUCAUGGAACAAUUUCAUGUAAUAGUACGAUUUGGGCCUUUCUCAGUCAGCCAGCCGCCCCUGCCUGAAAGCCCAAUCAAGCAAACGAUAUAGCCCACUGGACUUCUCAAUUGCUGUUGUUAGUCAUGUGCGAAGUCAUCAAGUACAAGUAGGUUGCCUAAAAACUGCACUUCCAUUUCUUAUAUUUAUAUUUGAAUUCUAACUUAAAAUUUUCCGAUCAUCAAUCUAUAACUUUAUCAUUAUAAUAACUUUAUUUAGACGAUAUGAUUGGUAAUUAUAAAAAGAUAAUAAAAUUUUAAAAAGGUUUGUAAUUAGAGAGUAGAUAUAUGAUAUAUCAAGUGAGAAAUGAAAAAAAUUCAUUCUUUUAAUGAGUGGAGUUAACAUUUGAAAACACCAUUUAAAGCAAUAUUAUUUAUUAACUAAUUAUAAAACGAUAAGGAUGCAAGUAUUAUUCGAUUUGUAAUAAAUAACUUGGAACAAAUGUCUACUUCUCAAAUGAUGCAACGAAGUGAAUCAUAAAUUAUAUCAUGAUUUAUAUAUAAUAGGUGUAUAUAUAAUAUAUGUACUACCUGAGUAAUUUAACAUUUUGUUAUCACUGCGGGUGAAUUUUUCUUUUUUCUUUACUCCAUCCAAAAAUAAAUUUCUUUUGUACAUUAAUCUCUUUGCCACGCAUACUUGUACCGAGCAAUAAAUGACUGAAAACAAAAUUUAUAAAGGUGUACUGCAUUUUUAUAUGUGAGGAUCCAACAUCUAACCUUAUAACUAAGACACAAUUNNNNNNNNAAGACACAAUUAGGUACACAACCAUAAUAGAGAUGUUUUUUCAGUUAAGUGAAAUUUUUGACAUAUAAGGUGCAGUCCUAUUGUCGUAGGUAAAGGCUGGAAGCAUGCAACUGUCCUAUGGAGUAAUGGAGAUGAGCAUAAUAGGUACAAAGGACAAGUCAUAAAGGUAAAGCCUUCAAACACCAAUAAUGUGUAUGCCGGGUCCCCGAGUCGUUUUGGAUCAGUUAUUUUGAUCUGAAUUAUUCCAGGAAAAAAUCGUUUGAAAUCUAAAACAUUUGGAAAAUUGGGUUUUGGUCAUUAUAAAUAAUUCAUUAUUGAGUUAUUUCUAAUAUUUGGAGGUGAGAUAUUAUUUUAAAUAAUUCGAUAUUUUAAAUAUGUUGGUCUUUUAUUAAUCAAAUACCAUAUGUGAAUUAUAAUUCUUCAGCCAAAUAAAAUAAUUAGAUUUUAAUUUAUUUUACAUAUCAUAAAUAUCANNNNNNNNNNNNNNNNNNNNNNNNNNNNNNNNNNNNNNNNNNNNNNNNNNNNNNNNNNNNNNNNNNNNNNNNNNNNNNNNNNNNNNNNNNNNNNNNNNNNNNNNNNNNNNNNNNNNNNNNNNNNNNNNNNNNNNNNNNNNNNNNNNNNNNNNNNNNNNNNNNNNNNNNNNNNNNNNNNNNNNNNNNNNNNNNNNNNNNNNNNNNNNNNNNNNNNNNNNNNNNNNNNNNNNNNNNNNNNNNNNNNNNNNNNNNNNNNNNNNNNNNNNNNNNNNNNNNNNNNNNNNNNNNNNNNNNNNNNNNNNNNNNNNNNNNNNNNNNNNNNNNNNNNNNNNNNNNNNNNNNNNNNNNNNNNNNNNNNNNNNNNNNNNNNNNNNNNNNNNNNNNNNNNNNNNNNNNNNNNNNNNNNNNNNNNNNNNNNNNNNNNNNNNNNNNNNNNNNNNNNNNNNNNNNNNNNNNNNNNNNNNNNNNNNNNNNNNNNNNNNNNNNNNNNNNNNNNNNNNNNNNNNNNNNNNNNNNNNNNNNNNNNNNNNNNNNNNNNNNNNNNNNNNNNNNNNNNNNNNNNNNNNNNNNNNNNNNNNNNNNNNNNNNNNNNNNNNNNNNNNNNNNNNNNNNNNNNNNNNNNNNNNNNNNNNNNNNNNNNNNCUCUAUAAUUAAAACAUGUAAAAACUAAAAGAACUUGAUUUUUCUGUCGAAAAAAUAAUAUAAUAGAUUCGUAAGGAAAAUUCUACUUAUCAAAUGUUAAUCAAAGUGUUAAACUUUACCCCUUAAUCCAUAAUAUUCCACCCGAAUUAACACAACCUAUGCAAUUCAUCACGUAAAUAACUAAACUAAAUAGCUAAUUACACAAAUCUUGAUUUGACUAAUUUAGUUGGAAGUUAGAAUAGGAUUAGAGACAGAAUAACUGGACAACCUUAACCACCAACAUAAACAGUUUGUGAUUAUAUUCUCAGUUGACCAGCAUCAGACAGAAUCUAACUACAGGAGACUUCAAGCGUGCAUUAAUCACAUUUAUUUAGCAACAAAAACCUUGUCAUUAUGUCAAAUAAUUAAGCAGAAACACACAGAAAAACAUUAAUUAUUCCUUACAAAAAUACACAAUCAAUUAAAAACACAUAAUUUUGUUUAAUUAUCCGUACAAUCUGACAGAGACCACUAAAGGUGUGGUUUAGGCACAUGCCUUGUGUCAUAUCAUUCCCAAACCUCAAAUCAACGGCUCGGCUCCUCCCUGUACGGAACCCAUCAACGGUCCAGAUCUCACACUUUCCCUUCAUAGACUCUGGUCCAUCUUUGAUCGCGUCCCUCUCCUCCAGCAGAUAAAAUAAAAUAAAAUAAAUUCCUCUUCUUCUUCUUCUUCUUCUUCUCUCUCUCUCUCUCUUCUGCAACUGUGUCCAGCUCUCUGUGUCCACCGAGCUCAUCUCUCAAUCGAGAAAGUGAUAGCUCUGCUCCAAGCCAACUAGUUGAGGGGAAAAAGGGGGAAAAGUUUUAAUUUUUUUUCCUCCCUUUCAUUUUCACUAUUGUCUUCACCGCUUCUUUCUACCCUUUGGCUGCUUCUGACUUGUCUCAUGGCGGCAUCGGAAGCCGUGUAGCUGCUUCUGCUGUUAUCAUUACUUACCUUUUCCCCUCGCAGAUUGCUCUGCAAUGGUCAAAGUUUGCGGCUGACUAGCAGAACGAGGAGGAGGAAGUGGAAGAGGAGGAGAAGGAGAUCGCGCUAUCGUUUUGUGCUUGGUUUGAUUUCCAGCUUUCUUCUCCAUUUCCCUUUCUCAGGGAAGCUAAGGUUUUGGAAUUGGGAAUUUGAGGAAGAGGUAAUGCGAAUGUUAGCUGUGAAAUUUCUUCAAAUUUGGAAACAGUUAGUUUCUGGUCAAAUUUUAUAAUUAAAAGAUAGAGGGUGGAGGGAAGGAGAAAAAAGAAGCCGGGAAAGUGGAAGAGAUGAAGCUUUCGACGUCAGGAUUGAGUCAGCAAGGUCAAGAAGGUAUCUUCACUUUAAUUUUUCUGAUUUUUUAAUGUUAGGGUUUAAUAAUUUAAUUUUAUUCUUCACUGAUCCUUGUUUUCCUACUGAGGGUUUCUUUGUUGUGGGUUAUUGCCAUUCAUGGUGGGUUUUUAAGGUUUUCAAAUGUGAUGAUUACAGACUUUUGAAGUGAACCAAAAACAAAUAUCAUCAGCUGUGUCAUUUUCCUUCUGUUGUGUGAAAAAUCCACUACUGCUACUACUGCUGGGUGUUCUUCAUUCCAUUGUGGACAUAAUGAUGCCAGGAGAGAACAAGUGUUUGAAUUCAGAGCUGUGGCAUGCCUGCGCUGGACCACUUGUGUCGCUACCCACAGUGGGCAGUCGUGUCGUCUACUUUCCUCAGGGUCACAGUGAGCAGGUGUGUGCUUACUUUCUACUAUAUCCCCUUUUUCUCACUUCCAUUCCUUUUUUUGGUCCGAGGAAACAUACCGUGGCCUAUCUUGUAUUGCAGGUCGUUGCCACUACCAACAAGGAAAUUGAUGGGCAAAUUCCGAAUUAUCCAAGCUUGCCUCCUCAAUUGAUAUGCCAGCUACACAAUUUGACCAUGCAUGUGAGCUCUAGUUCUGCUCAUUUUCUCAUCUCUUAUAAGUUUUAGCAAUUAGAAGCGAACUAGGAUGUUGUAUUUGGUUGAUUUACCUUUAUACUGUCGAAGUGUGUUAUCGUCAAUUCCUGUUAAGUAUCUGACAAAAGCUUGAAAUGAUGUUCAGGCAGAUGUGGAAACAGAUGAAGUGUAUGCCCAGAUGACAUUGCAGCCUUUGACUGAGGUAAAUUUUGCAUCUUCGUUUCUCAUCGACAUGAGUCCUUCAAUAUGGGACUUAAAGAAGCUUCCUUUGUUAUGUUGGUAGUUUCUUUUGUGGGCUUGCUGUGUCUCAUUAAUAGUUUUUUUAAUGCACAGGAGGAACAGAAGGAUACUUUCCUUCCCAUGGAAUUGGGAAUGCCUAGCAAGCAGCCCACCAAUUAUUUCUGCAAGACGUUGACAGCUAGUGAUACUAGUACACAUGGUGGAUUCUCUGUCCCUCGACGUGCUGCAGAGAAAGUUUUUCCACCAUUGGUAGCAUCUUUGUUACUCUCUGACACGUGAAUGUUUUAAUUUGAGACGGAUGUUCUGUCUUGCUGAAAAUUCUUGUGGCGAUGAUUUUUGCUGUGCAGGAUUUCUCGCAACAGCCACCAGCUCAGGAGCUUAUUGCGAGGGAUCUCCAUGACGUAGAAUGGAAAUUCAGGCAUAUUUUUCGAGGUUGGUAUUUCUGUGUCUAUGAAUAAUAUUCUAACAAUACGUAUGUAGCAAAUUAACAGAGUGGAGACAUAUUUUGGAUAAUUAUAUUGUAUGAAUAGCUGAAAACCAACUAAGCAUUUUGGAGAUUUAUCAAACAGUUUUCUCUGAGAUGAAACCUCUCCCUUUUAUACUGAUUUAACAAGUUGCCAAACUUGUAUAGACUUCUUUUCCGGAGAGGACAACUCACAUUUGCUUAAUUUCUGGCCUAGCUGUCUAUAGGUUAGAGAACUGAGACUAGUAUAGAAUUAUGCAGUUUCUUAAAAGAGUUAUCCUGGUACGUUCUAUUUGUUGCUUGUGAGACAUGAUAUUAUUUUUCAUAUAGAAAUUGGUCCUUCCAAAUGGUUUAUUAAUUAUCUAUUAUCUCUAGUAAAAGGUUACAUUACUUUCUGCCCUUCUUUCAGGACAGCCAAAACGUCAUCUACUUACAACAGGGUGGAGCAUUUUUGUCAGUGCAAAAAGACUAGUUGCAGGGGACUCAGUUCUGUUUAUCUGGUAAUCUUUUGUAGGUCAAUAGAUUCUUGGUGGAUCUUCUCAUUGGGAUCUGUCUAUUUGGCCACUUCAUUGAAUGUUAAUUUUGUCCUAUACCUAACUCUUUCAUUGUGCCACCAGGAAUGAGAAAAAUCAGCUUCUUCUUGGUAUACGCCGGGCUAUUCGACCACAAACUGUAAUGCCUUCAUCGGUGCUAUCCAGUGACAGCAUGCAUAUUGGACUACUUGCUGCUGCUGCUCAUGCUGCUGCAACUAAUAGCUGUUUUACAGUGUUUUUCAACCCAAGGUGUGUUGAAACCACAUUUUCUUUCCUUUACCGUUCAAUUUCAUUUCUGUCUAAUAUUUGGACUUGAUGCAGGGCUAGUCCAUGUGAGUUUGUAAUAUCCCUGUCCAAAUAUGUGAAAGCUGUCUAUCACACACGCGUCUCGGUUGGGAUGCGCUUUCGGAUGCUUUUUGAGACUGAAGAAUCAAGCGUCCGCAGGUAUUGUGGAAGUUGGCUAUGCAUUUUAUUAGUGCAAGGACCGUAGAGUUUCAUUUGGUUGAUAAAGACUGAAAAUUGAUAUCACGAAGUCCAGUUAUAUGUGUAAGUGCCAUGUAGUUGGUUGUUCUUCAGUUCUGGGUGAAAUGGGAUGCCAUGUACUGUCAUUCUUUCAGUUUUUUGUGGAGAUGCAUGUGGUCCUCAUAUUUACCUAAAACUCAGUCCUUAUUUGGUUGGGAAGGAUUUGGUGGAAGGUAUAUACCUUGAGGAAAUUUCCUGUUACUCUCUUAAGCUCAUGAGUUCUGAAUAGCGAUUAUAUCGGGGGUCAGCCUUCACCAAGUUAUUUGUUUGCUCCAAUUCUUCUCUCAUUUGAAGAGCUUUGUUGCUAGGCGCAUGGGUGCCAUAACGGGAUUGGAGAUCUGUCAAGGUAAAUUGGACAUAAUGCAUCUCAUUCUAGGUUUUGUAUCCUGUUUUUCAUGUGAUUAUCCUGACCGUUUUUCCAUUUGGAUGUAAUUAAUUGGCUUUGUUGAUUGCUUCAUAUGAUAGAAACAAGGCAUUUGGGCUUAUAGGGCCAGGACUUGGUCACACAUACCUCUUUAGUCAUUUUUCUCAUUCUGUUUUGUCUAUUGGGAUUCGGGAGUAAAUUCCCUUAAGGGUAUCUGAGAUGGUAUACUUGAGAAAAGCUGAUAACUGAUACCAUAACAUGAUCCACUAUGUGAUGGGAUUUUCUAGAACUUGGUCAUUGGAUGUACCCUUGUCCGAGUUUGAUCUAGAAGAUGUGAGGUUUGGUUCUGAAGCAAUUAAUAGCAUAUGCAAUUAUUGAACCUGUAAUUAUGAUCCAGAAUACAUUAUAUGCUCCCUGAAAUUAUUCGUGCAUAGUAGUUGACAGUAUGCAAUGUGCUCUUUAUAAUUGUCCAUUUCUUUAAGGGACUUGAAUAUUAACAUUUGCCGACUUGCUUAUUUAUGUCAUUCUUCAGUUCUCUUGGUUAACAUCAUAUCUCUACAUGUAGGUUGGGUGGGAUGAGUCAACUGCUGGAGAACGACAGCCUCGGGUAUCAUUAUGGGAAAUAGAGCCUCUGACAACUUUCCCUAUGUACCCAUCACUGUUCCCCUUCAGAUUGAAACGUCCUUGGUAUCCAGGCUCCUCAGCUUUUCCUGGUAAUUAUGUACUUCUAAGUCUAUUUGAUUGUACCUCGCAAGUAGCACUGGCUUACCGAGGAAGGAAAUUUUCUGAGCUCCUAACUGAUUAUUAUAAAUGGUAGUUGCCAUUUGUUGAUAAAAUUGUUCUGCUGUGUCAUGAAUUUAUUCAUUAGGGCUUUUCAUCAAGUGUAUCAAGGACGUAAAUUUGUAUACGAGAUUGAACUCAGUAUAUUAUUAUAUUUCUCACCCUCUGAAAAGAGGUAUAUAUACAAAUAGACUAGCUAGGUUAGAGUAGGAUAACACGCUAACAGCUAGGAAUUGUAUAGGAAAGGAACAAACUACAUGCUGAAAAUCACAGUAAAUCACUACAACCAACAAUUUGUCUUGUAGAUACACCGAGAUACUUCCUUCCAAGUGUAAAUUCCAUAACAAUUAGUCAGGUAUUGGAGUAAGUAUAAGGAUAGCAAAUGAGAGAAUUUAUUUUUCUCAUUCGGCAACUUUGCUGGUGGUCAAAUUGAACCUAGAACUGUAAAAAUCUUGCCUUGAAAGCACUUAAUUAUGUUUUUUCCUUGCUGUACUGCAUGGAAAUACUCGGCUUCUCUUAUUCAAGGAUUUUUCCGCAGAUCCCAGAGACGAAAAUGGUAACAGCCUAACGUGGAUGAGGGGUGGUCCCGGAGAUGGUCUUCCUUCUAUGAAUUUUCAAGCCGUCAAUAUGUUGCCAUGGAUGCAGCAGCAGAGAGUGGAUCCAUCUUUGCUUAGGAACGAUCAAAGCCAGUGGUACCAGGCACUGCUAGCAGCGAGUUUGCAGAGUGCAGGAAAUGGAGAUUCUGUCUAAUAUUUGGACUUGAUGCAGGGCUAGUCCAUGUGAGUUUGUAAUAUCCCUGUCCAAAUAUGUGAAAGCUGUCUAUCACACACGCGUCUCGGUUGGGAUGCGCUUUCGGAUGCUUUUUGAGACUGAAGAAUCAAGCGUCCGCAGGUAUUGUGGAAGUUGGCUAUGCAUUUUAUUACUGCAAGGACCAUAGAGUUUCAUUUGGUUGAUAAAGACUGAAAAUUGAUAUCACGAAGUCCAGUUAUAUGUGUAAGUGCCAUGUAGUUGGUUGUUCUUCAGUUCUGGGUGAAAUGGGAUGCCAUGUACUGUCAUUCUUUCAGUUUUAUGUGGAGAUGCCUGUGGUCCUCAUAUUUGCCUAAAACUCAGUCCUUAUUUGGUUGUGAAGGAUUUGGUGGAAGGUAUAUAUCUAGAGGAAAUUUCCUGUUACUCUCUUAGCUCAUGAGUUCUGAAUAGCGAUUAUAUUGGGGGUCAGCCUUCACCAAGUUAUUUGUUUGCUCCAAUUCUUCUCUCAUUUGAAGAGCUUUGUUGCUAGGCACAUGGGUACUAUAACAGGCAUAAGUGAUCUGGACCCUGUUCGUUGGCCUAAUUCUCAUUGGAGAUCUGUCAAGGUAAUUGGACAUAAUGCAUCUCAUUCUAGGUUUUGUAUCCUGUUUUUCAUGUGAUCAUCCUGACCUUUUUUCCAUCUGGAUGUAAUUAAUUGGCUUUGUUGAUUGCUUCAUAUGAUAGAAACAAGGUAUUUGAGCUUAUAGGGCCUGGGACUUGGUCAUACAUACCUCUUUAGCAAUUCUUGCUCAUUCUGUUUUGUCUGUUGGGAUUCGGGAGUAUGAAAGAUGAAACAUGCACGAUGAGUAAAUUCCCAUAAGAGUAUCUGAGGUGGUAUACUUUAGAAAAGCUGAUAACUGAUACCUUAACAUGAUCCAAUAUGUGAUGGAAUUUUCUAGAACUUGGUCAUUGGUUGUACCCUUGGCCAAGUUUGAUCUAGAAGAUGUGAUAGGUUUGGUGUUCUGAAGCAAUUAAUUGCAUCUUUUGAAAUUAUUGAACCUGUAAUUAUGAUCCAGAUUACAUUAUAUGCUCCUCGGAAUGACUUGUGCAUAGUAGUUGACAGUAUGUAAUAUGCUCUUUAUAAUUAUCCAUUUCUUUAAGGGACUUGAAUAUUAUCAUUUGCAACACUUGCUUAUUUAUGUCAUUCUUCAGUUCUCUUGGUUAACAUCAUAUCUCUACAUGUAGGUUGGGUGGGAUGAGUCAACUGCUGGAGAACGACAGCCUCGGGUAUCAUUAUGGGAAAUAGAGCCUCUGACAACUUUCCCUAUGUACCCAUCACUGUUCCCCUUCAGAUUGAAACGUCCUUGGUAUCCAGGCUCCUCAGCUUUUCCUGGUAAUUAUGUACUUCUAAGUCUAUUUGAUUGUACCUCGCAAGUAGCACUGGCUUACCGAGGAAGGAAAUUUUCUGAGCUCCUAACUGAUUAUUAUAAAUGGUAGUUGCCAUUUGUUGAUAAAAUUGUUCUGCUGUGUCAUGAAUUUAUUCAUUAGGGCUUUUCAUCAAGUGUAUCAAGGACGUAAAUUUGUAUACGAGAUUGAACUCAGUAUAUUAUUAUAUUUCUCACCCUCUGAAAAGAGGUAUAUAUACAAAUAGACUAGCUAGGUUAGAGUAGGAUAACACGCUAACAGCUAGGAAUUGUAUAGGAAAGGAACAAACUACAUGCUGAAAAUCACAGUAAAUCACUACAACCAACAAUUUGUCUUGUAGAUACACCGAGAUACUUCCUUCCAAGUGUAAAUUCCAUAACAAUUAGUCAGGUAUUGGAGUAAGUAUAAGGAUAGCAAAUGAGAGAAUUUAUUUUUCUCAUCCCGCAACUUCGCUGGUGGUCAAAUUGAACCCAGAACUGUCAAAAACUUGUCUUGAAAGCACUUGAUUAUGUUUUUUCCUUGCUGUACUGCAUGGAAAUACUCGGCUUCUCUUAUUCAAGGAUUUUUCCGCAGAUCCCAGAGACGAAAAUGGUAACAGCCUAACGUGGAUGAGGGGUGGUCCCGGAGAUGGUCUUCCUUCUAUGAAUUUUCAAGCCGUCAAUAUGUUGCCAUGGAUGCAGCAGCAGAGAGUGGAUCCAUCUUUGCUUAGGAACGAUCAAAGCCAGUGGUACCAGGCACUGCUAGCAGCGAGUUUGCAGAGUGCAGGAAAUGGAGAUCCUAUGAGGCAACAAUUUAUGCAGUUUCAGCAUCCUUUGCAGUAUCAACAGCAGCCAACCACCAACUACCCAAUAUUGCAGCAAGCACCUCAGCAGUCUGUUCCUCAUAAUAUUCUUAGCUCACAUAAUCAAGUUUCCACGGAUAGCUUGCCUCAGCAAAUCCUUCAACAGCAGCAGGAGCCGAGUUAUAAUGACUCGAUUCCGAGACAAAAUGAUCAGCUUCACGGAGGGCCGUCAAGUGUGCAUUCUCCAAAUUUCUCAAAACCCAACUUUAUCGAUUCGAGCACCAAAUUCAUAGGUGGGUCUACAGUCACUGUUCAGAACAUGUUGGGGUCUCUGUGUACCGAAGGCAGUGGCAACCUUUUGGACCUGACAAGAGCUGUUUCGUCUUCUGAACAUCUAAACCAAGAAACCUGGGUUCCGAAAUAUUCGCAUGCCCAAGUCAAUGCCUUUACCACUCCGACGACACACCAACACCAAUUUCACGACAAAGAUCAUGCACCAGUACCAAAACCAGGAAACUGUAGCACGGAAGCUCUGAAUCCAAAUACCUUUGGCAUGAACAUUGAUUCAACUGGACUCCUCUUACCCACCACUGUACCGAGAGUUGCUACUACUUCUUCAAGCGAUCCUGACGUGUUGUCAAUGCCUUUAAGCGUGGCUGGGUUUCAGAAUUCUCUCUACAGUUCUUCUGAGUUCUUACCCGGUACAGGAGGGCAAGUAGAGGCGCUAAACGCAGGUCCAAUAUUUGUGAAGGUUUGAAAUCUCGGGGUGGAUUUCUUCUCUUAUCAACAGUUGAGUUUUCCUAGUAAGUAUCUUUCUUGCUUCUUAUUGAUGUUGUUCUGCUACAGGUUUACAAAUCUGGAUCGGUUGGGCGGUCCCUUGACAUCUCCCGGUUCAGCAGCUAUCAUCAGCUGCGGGAGGAACUGGCACAGAUGUUCGGGAUCGAGGGGAAGUUGAAAAACCCUCAUAGAUCGGGCUGGCAGCUUGUAUUUGUCGACAAGGAGGAUCUAACUGAUUAUUAUAAAUGGUAGUUGCCAUUUGUUGAUAAAAUUGUUCUGCUGUGUCAUGAAUUUAUUCAUUAGGGCUUUUCAUCAAGUGUAUCAAGGACGUAAAUUUGUAUACGAGAUUGAACUCAGUAUAUUAUUAUAUUUCUCACCCUCUGAAAAGAGGUAUAUAUACAAAUAGACUAGCUAGGUUAGAGUAGGAUAACACGCUAACAGCUAGGAAUUGUAUAGGAAAGGAACAAACUACAUGCUGAAAAUCACAGUAAAUCACUACAACCAACAAUUUGUCUUGUAGAUACACCGAGAUACUUCCUUCCAAGUGUAAAUUCCAUAACAAUUAGUCAGGUAUUGGAGUAAGUAUAAGGAUAGCAAAUGAGAGAAUUUAUUUUUCUCAUUCGGCAACUUUGCUGGUGGUCAAAUUGAACCUAGAACUGUAAAAAUCUUGCCUUGAAAGCACUUAAUUAUGUUUUUUCCUUGCUGUACUGCAUGGAAAUACUCGGCUUCUCUUAUUCAAGGAUUUUUCCGCAGAUCCCAGAGACGAAAAUGGUAACAGCCUAACGUGGAUGAGGGGUGGUCCCGGAGAUGGUCUUCCUUCUAUGAAUUUUCAAGCCGUCAAUAUGUUGCCAUGGAUGCAGCAGCAGAGAGUGGAUCCAUCUUUGCUUAGGAACGAUCAAAGCCAGUGGUACCAGGCACUGCUAGCAGCGAGUUUGCAGAGUGCAGGAAAUGGAGAUCCUAUGAGGCAACAAUUUAUGCAGUUUCAGCAUCCUUUGCAGUAUCAACAGCAGCCAACCACCAACUACCCAAUAUUGCAGCAAGCACCUCAGCAGUCUGUUCCUCAUAAUAUUCUUAGCUCACAUAAUCAAGUUUCCACGGAUAGCUUGCCUCAGCAAAUCCUUCAACAGCAGCAGGAGCCGAGUUAUAAUGACUCGAUUCCGAGACAAAAUGAUCAGCUUCACGGAGGGCCGUCAAGUGUGCAUUCUCCAAAUUUCUCAAAACCCAACUUUAUCGAUUCGAGCACCAAAUUCAUAGGUGGGUCUACAGUCACUGUUCAGAACAUGUUGGGGUCUCUGUGUACCGAAGGCAGUGGCAACCUUUUGGACCUGACAAGAGCUGUUUCGUCUUGGCAUGGACAUUGUUUCAACUGGACUCCUCUUCCCCACCACUGUACCGAGAGUUGCUACUACUUCUUCAAGCGAUCCUGACGUGUUGUCAAUGCCUUUAAGCGUGGCUGGGUUUCAGAAUUCUCUCUACAGUUCUUCUGAGUUCUUACCCGGUACAGGAGGGCAAGUAGAGGCGCUAAACGCAGGUCCAAUAUUUGUGAAGGUUUGAAAUCUCGGGGUGGAUUUCUUCUCUUAUCAACAGUUGAGUUUUCCUAGUAAGUAUCUUUCUUGCUUCUUAUUGAUGUUGUUCUGCUACAGGUUUACAAAUCUGGAUCGGUUGGGCGGUCCCUUGACAUCUCCCGGUUCAGCAGCUAUCAUCAGCUGCGGGAGGAACUGGCACAGAUGUUCGGGAUCGAGGGGAAGUUGGAAAACCCUCAUAGAUCAGGCUGGCAGCUUGUAUUUGUCGACAAGGAGGAUGAUGUUCUUCUCCUUGGAGACGGUCCUUGGGAGUAAGUAAAUAGAACCUCUGCAAAAUCUGUUUUUUUUCUCCUUCCUCCGAACAUGUCCUGAAAUUUUAUGAUGUGAAAAUUAACUCAUGAUGCAGCGCAUUUGUAAACAACGUGUGGUAUAUCAAGAUACUUUCUCCGGAGGAUGUAGUGAAGAUGGGGGAUCAAGGGGUUGAAUCGUUCAGCCCGAAUACACGCCAAAGAACGAUCAGCAGCAGGGAACCGGACUUUAGCUCGGGUUCACUUAGAUACUGAUAAAUUCCAGAAAAGCUCCGGAUGGAAAGCUCUCAAUAGUCGAUCCUUAUGUUUACAUGAACAAAUAAAACAUUGGCUGCUCCCAGCUAAAGUUAUUAUUAGUUGAUUCCACUAAAUUGUACGUACAUGAUCAUAUCCUCUUGUGUUUAGUGUUCAAAAUUAUCAUUAAUCAGAAACCAGUUCAGAUUGUACUUGCCAAUACUGUUGUAUCUGUGAUUCUAGUUAUCAAGGCUUUGAAAUACAGUACCGGCUGGUCUUACCGGGCGAACCAGUAUACAUUUUUGGCUUCUUAAUGUCUAAAUCUGUAGGCUGCUGUUUCCCUGAUGACACUAUGAAUCGCUCUGUUGUUUAGAAAGAAAACCAUAAUUUGUUGGCAAAAAAUACAGUCGUCUAAUUCAUCAGCGAAACACUAGUAAUGUAAACUGAGCUAAUUCGUGUUUGUUAUCAAACCCAUAUUUGUUCCUAUGAGAUAGUUUUGUCAAUCUCGCUUCAACGCCUUUGUGAUGAACGCUCUUGUAAUUACAAUGGCAAUGUAAGCCAACACAGUUACAGCGAUUCCCGCUAGUAAAAUGAUCCUAUCAAAAUUAGCAUCCUGUACUUCGUAUACCUUCAGACCGAUCACGUCCCAGUAGCUCUCCGUCCAAACCGGGUCCGCCUUAGCCAUGGGAUCCGAUGAAUUUAGAGGCAUGACGGUCCAUACCCCAGAAUCGUAUUUCAACCUGGUUGAAUAGGCCGGUACGUACCUGCAGCAAGCACAAACAAACCCGGGAAUUCUCGUAUAUCUGAACAAGAACUGCUGGCAGCCAGAUUGCAGGAUUCACAUGCAUGUUUACCUGGUUGUGGAAGUAACGCAAACACCUUCAGUUUCUGCUUUGACGCACACUUCAUCUUUCUUGCUGCAGUCUUGUGAGCAGUUAGAUUUACUGUUUUCCUUGAGCAUAGAUGUUUUGUCAGCCAGGAAGUUCCAAAUGAACCGGCAAACAUCGUUAAUGGAUCCAGUAUCGGGAGCCGCAGAAGGCUCCCCUUGGAAUACGCCGACAUAAUGAACAGGGCAUGUUGUGGUCGUGGAAAUAUAGUUCGUCACCAGAUCACAAGACAGACCGGGAUCGCACUUCAACAGACAACUCAACAUCUCUUCCACCAGGGAGGCAUUAACAUUGAUGGAGUUCAGAACAGAGUUCUUUAUAUUUUUGUUCUUGUUUGCAAGGAUGUAAAGGGUCCGAGCAACUAGAGAUGCAGCUGCGACGAUUGAUGAUGAGUUUAUGUUUGCUGCAUUCAAUGAAUAGAGAAGAUAUGCAUUAGUGUUAUCAGAGCAUCUUGGAUCCUGUUACUUGUUUCAAUAAUCUGAGAGCAGUAGACCACUAACUAGUUCAUAAAGAUGACAGUGAACAUUAAUCAACUUACAGUUAUCAUCAAGAUGACUAUGGUAAAAAUUGUUGCGGAAAGCAGCAUCAGUCUUCCAACACAAAACCAGAGGUUGAUGAGUUCUGCAGGAACAGAGAAGAUAUGGUUCAUUGCAAGGGAAAUGAAAAGGAAAUGGAUAACUGGGAGCGAGUUAUUUACUCUAUAAAGAUGGAGUAAAAUAACGAUCAACACUGCAUAUAAUGGCACACAUGAAAUACACAAGUUCACUGUAUUUAACCUUUUUAAAAAAUGACAUCAGGGAUGAUGGUGGUAUUCCAGGGUUUGAUGUGCUUGCCAAUGAAACUGAAAUAUUCUGCGACUCCAGAGAAAUUUGAGCAUGUUUUAAAGCACUCAAAGUUGUGUUUUCGGCAGAUGAAACCUGCAUUAUAAAAUGAGAAACUAUGAAACCUAUUACCACAGAGACGUUUGUGUAGAAAACAAAGGAUUCAUACCCCAGUGGUGUGAGCAAAGAAGCUUUUGGUCCCUUGAUUGAAGGCCUUCCCGACUGAUCCAAUUUCAAUUACCUUUACAAAAAACAUAGACCAUUUUCAAACGUUGAUUGCCAAGGCACUACACAAGCAAACUCUCAAGUCUCAAUGCAUCAUUAGGUUAUGAGUUUAUGGUUUUUAGGUCUAUAAAUGAUCGUUAGGCUUUGUGCAAGAGAAUACCGUCUCAAUCAGUUGGUUGUCAAGGCCAGUAACAGCAUUUGACUGCAAAUCAAGUUCAAGCAAGAAUCGUCUACUACCAAGGUACCCCCAUGCUUCUCCAGUAAAAACUGCAAAAACAAGCUGCAAGAAAAGUCUAAAAUGAUCAAAAAUAAUUUGGAAACGUGUAAUGGUUAGAACAUACCUUAAGAUAUGAGUGUAAACUGGAGCCAACUUAUGAACUCAGUUUAAUGAUGAUUAACCAAAAAAUAUUGGUGGGAUCAAAUAAAGAUUUACAAGUCAUACUGUAGUGUGUGGAGAUGUCAAGCUGACAGUGACAUACCUGUUUUUCAAGAUCGCCUAAACCAUCCACUUGAGAAAGUGAAUCAACUGCUGCAAGCAAUGCAAUCAACCCCUAGAAGUGGAUGAAGAUGAGAACAGCAUGGAAUUUGUGGGAACAAAUUUUACAGGCAACUCAAAGGACUUUGACUAACCGUGAUUGGGGAUUCUGCACCUAAGCUUUUGUCAUGGAAGAACGAAGCAGCAUCCAUAGAUGCUACUGUUAAUAUAGCUGGCUUCGGUUUGUUAGAGGAUGAUAUAUUGAUUGGAGGAAGCGAUGACCAAACACUGCCCUUCAUAAGGGAGAUGCAUAAUUAAAGUUUGACUUAGCUCACUCUUAAAUUAUUUAACAGGUUUAGCGUGUUCCAGCAACAACAUCCAAUUCAUUCAGGUUCCUGACACUGAAUAGCUGGGAUGAAAAGAAAACUGCAGAUACCAAAAACAGUACACUGUAAAUGGAAUCCAGUUUGAUGCUUGGUUCAACACCAACUAAAUAAGAACACACAUUUAGAGAAAACAACAUCCUACGAGCUAUUAGAUGGGAACCGACUUACCUAGGAGCUUUUCACUCUGAAAGCAAUCUUGUAUUCAUAAUGAUUUUUGUAGGUAAAUAUCUAUUGACCGAGUAAGGACUGGAUCUCAGGACCUGGGACCUUGCCCAAGCCCGCCCGGCCCCAUCUACCACCGCAAAUAACUUCUGCAGGUUUGUUCCAUAUGAGCAUUAUACUACCGGUAUAUGAUUAAGCAUUGAAAUGCUAGAAGCAUUACUGUGUGAGACUGCUCUUGAAUUUGCUCGAAAGUUUUCAUUACUAAAAGACUGCUAUUAGAUAUGGAUCAAUCAAUUAAUUUUUAUCAAUGAGUAGUCAUAAGUUAAUUACUACUUCAUGGGAAAGAAUCAGUUAAUAAGAACCACUAUAGGGCAUGUCCAAUGCUCACACGCAUACAAGGUAGGAGCAAGCAUUAGUAAGGAUAAGAUACAAGUUCCCUCCUUCGGAAUGUAAGAAGUAAAGAUAACCAGAUAUAUCAUAUCUAACCUGUAUCCUCCCAAUGGAAGGCAAGUACCCUCUUGUAAACAAGAUUCUGAAUCACGCGUGCCGUAUUUUGUUGUCUGGCAAGAUGAAUUUUUUAGUACAUAGUGUCAGUACAUAUUAUUUUCGAAACUUAUUCAGAUAGUAUACAUAAAUAAUUUUUUCCAAAUAUGCUGAAGCAAUGAAACCAAGUACCUGCAUCACCAAAUCAAAUUCAGCCAUGUUUGAAGUAUAACCUUUGCUAUUCUUCUCAUUCUUCAAAGAAAUCUGCAUGAAAAUGCAAGAGUACUAGUUUAAAAAAAUGAAUCCACGUCACCAGACAGAAGGGAAAAACUGUAUCCCAUCUCAAACCACUUUUACAAGGAUCGGAUGUAACUGAAAUAAUUCCUGCUCAACGAGUCUAAAUAAUUAGAUCUCAUGUUCUAUUAGCUUUGCAAACUAACAGUUUGAAAAAAGAAAAAUAAUUCAUCGUAAAACCACAACAGUAAGAAAUGGGCCUCUGAAAUACGGCACCAGGAAGAACAAAACUACACCCCAAACUUAUGGACUAUGAUGGAAACCACAGCAGGAGGCAUCAUAUCCAAAAGAGAAUCCAUUCAUAAUAAUGAAGAAAUUCAUCUGUUAUUUUGCUGGAGAAGUAUUGGUGUUACCUCUUUCAUGAUCUGUGUGCUAUUCUCAGUCAGUAAGAAGAUUGGAAAAUCAUAAUUUUUCCACAUUAUACCAGAUCCCUGUAAAGAGGCAUGACGAUAUAAUCCCAAGUCAACAAGAUCUGAUAAUAAUACACAAGAAUUUGCAGCAAGCGACAAGCAAUGAUUUCCAAGAAUACUCAAAGUCCGGAUUCAAAGUUCUGUAUCCUUUUGAGUCUGAAGCUAAAUACAGUAUAUGUCAUGAAGGAGCAUUAAUUCAAGUACUUCUAGAGUUAGCUGUAUCAGAUCAUUAAAAUGUGAAAGAGAGCACACUCAUGUCAAUUCCAGACUUUAAGAUCUGUACUGAUGUACCCCAAAAAUCACCCCAUAUAUGAAGAAAAUGCUCUUGCAAAACAAUCUCGAGUUCAUAAUACCCACCCAUUAGAUGAACUAUUUGACGAAAAUAAAAUAUCUUAGGCCUGUCCAAGAUGAAUGGUAACCUCGCAGGUUAGAGGCUUAAAUUAAGGCAGUAGAUUGAGGACUCUGAUAAUUAACUAUUCUAGCUGCAACGUAAAAGAAAAAUCAGGAUACUCGUUACUCGUUAUGCAUACCAUAGGAUUCCACUCGUAAUCGGUCUUCUGAUAAGGGGAAAAUUCAGCUUGUGGGAACUUGUAAUCGGGAGAGAAUCCUACAAGCAAAACAAACCCACGGUGUUAAACUAACCACGAUGCCAAAAAACCUUAUGUCCUAUCAAGAGGUUCACACUAGCAGAAAAUGCAUAUUCACCUUUCAGUUUGCUGCGAGUAUCAGCUCCAGAUUGAACUAAAAUACCACCAAUGUUCUUUGAAAGCGCCGAGUCUUUCGAUAUUCUGCAGAAAACACAAAAUUCUAGUAGUGUGAUCAUAAAGGGACAGAAACUGGGAUGAAUAGCUGAAUAUACUACAGCAUUCUUGAAUAGAUACCGAUUGAAACCCUAACUAACUUAUUGCUCCUACUAGCAUCACCCUAAUACAUAAACUAAGGAGAAAAACAACGUGAACAACAGCAAACCCAGGGUUCCUACCUAUCAAAGAGUUCACCAAUUCCAUCGAGCGAGACCAGAACAGCCGAAGGAAGACCCAAAUCAAGACCAGCCUGAUAUCUCACAACGGGAGCUACAACCUUGUCUCUCCCGGGAUCUGCCAGCACGGGGUGGAAACAAAAUCGUCAAGAAAUGAAGCAUUUCAUCGCAGCAAGGUGGCCCAGUGAAAGAGAACUGGAAAGCAAAAGAGUUUGAAGUGUGAUGUUUAUCUUACUAGCACAGCCUAUUUCUCCAGAAAGAUUGAGCAGUCGAACGCAGGGUAAGCCAUCGACGACCAUGUACAUCGAAUUCUGCAGAUCAGGAACAGACUCCAUUGAUUUCACUUGUCCGGAGAUUCCGCGGAUGCAUCUCGACAGCAGUAGAAACACUACUAACGAGAAGUAGAGCUUCAUCGGGAGCAGAAGGAGCAGAGCAUAGGCGUUUGGGAAGAAAAUGCGACUGAUGAAAGGAGCUGAGAAAUUGGGGUUCCUCCCUUAAGCCGAGCCGAGCCGAGCCGAAUCAGCAUUUUCUGUCGUUUUCUCCUUAUUGCAAAACGACUGCGAUCCAAAUGUUUCCCCCCCAGUUCUUAAGUGCAAACAAGUCUAAUUGGGCGGGGAAUUGCAUUCCUUGUCUAAUUACGAUAAUAUCAUCGAUCCAUAAGUUUUUAGGAAUUUAAUUUGAAAUUUUUGCUAUAUGAAAGAAUUCAUUUAGAAUUUUAAAUUGGAAAUUAUAUGAAAUUGAAAUUAGAUAUAGCAAUUUUGAGGGAUUGAGGUGGAAUUUUGAAAUGAAUUCCACAAGAAUUCUACUAAUCAUUUUUCGUAAAGUAAUUAGUCAUUCGUAAUUAGUUACUUUAUGAUUUAAAUUCCACAAGUAACUAGUUACAAAUGAUUGUUACUAAUAAUGUUCGUUUAUUUGUAUAUUGUGAUUAGAUUCAAACUAAAUACUACCAACUGCGCUAUUUUAAUUAAAAAAUAAUUACAAAUUACUUAUAAAAAACUUCGUUUGUGAGGUUGAAAAUUCGAUGAAAAUUUAUCUUAUUGUUUUGUUCGGAAAAUAAAAAAAUGAAAUGGAAGUUAUUUUUUUCAUUCACCUCUCAAACAAUACUUUCUAUCAAUUCUAUCAAUAAAUGCCCUAACUAAUACCUACCUUCAUCUCAAUCUCACAAUCUCAAUCUCAAUACUUUCUUCUUCUUUAGUUCCAUAUAUGACUUUUCUUCUGCUGACCUUCAAUUCAUCCUCCAUCUUCAUCCUUAAUUCUUCUUCAUUCUAAUCAAUCUGCCUUAUCGUACAAUGUCCCCCCGUUUCCUUGGCCCGCAAGCUUUCAACAAAUAUUACCGGGACACGAGUACAGAGUACUAUCUCCUUCUCCGGCGACGCACCAAAGCACUUACCUCCACGUCCUUCACUUUUCCACAAGUGAUCACCGGUCGACGUGGGUACUCUCUCAGCCGUGUAAUCAAAGCCCGCGAACUCGAACUCGAACCCUUCUUCCCCUGGCUGCUCGCAGUUUCUUGCGGAGCAAGAAACGUGGUGGCAGAGUCAUUUCCGUUUCUGCUGACGCGGAUCAGAUUCCCCAGUUGAUUGGAAAUGCUCCGAAUUUCAUGGGAAUCCAGUAGAGAAUAAUCACGGCGUGGAUCAUGCGGCGUACUUGUACCUGCUGCUGCUGAUCUCAUAGCUUCCACCAUGUACCUGCUGGAUGGCCUGGCUGCAGGCUUGAUUAGUGUAGCAGCCACAUCGAAUUCGGCCACCGGAGGUUUCCCUUCUGAUGAGCCGGAACCAUGUUGAUACCACGCCCAUGCCGCAGCUUUCACCAUAGCCAAGUUGUUGUUGUUGUUGUUGUUUUUAUCAUCAUCGUCAUCAAUGCUCUGCAUUUUCCAGCUUCUCCCUAUUAACCCACCCAACAACAGCCAUGAAGAAGGCAUGAUGAUGAGUUGCAAAUGGAGAAAGAGGGAAGAAACUAUUGAGAUCAGUUUCUUAUAAUUAUAAAAGUUACAAUAUGGGUUCAUCCUAGAGUAGUUGUUUCUUGUCAGAAGUUGGAUGGAUGGUAUGAAAAUAAAUGAAUAAACGUGUUUCUGUCGCAAGCCAUAAGUUUGAUCAUCUAUAUAUGUCGGUCCAAGUCAGGGGACCUCUUUCAGUGUGAAAAGAUAUUCUCAUAUUAAUUUGCCAACUUAAUUAAUUAGCCCCCCAAAAUUCAUUACUAAAACAAAUAUCUUGCAAGAAAAGAAAUACAUAAUUUUGCUAGGCGGCUCAUCAAGCAAGCAAGCAAGCUUGACAUUUAUUUAGUUAUAUUUUCGGUUGCAAACUCCAAAUGAAAUUAAGAUAGGACAACAACACAAACACAAGAUUCAUAUAGAAAUAUCAUAUAUAUAGGCACACACACUCCUCCCUGAUCAUCAUCAGCUUGAUCUUUAUUCAUGUAGAUAGUAGUAGUAGUAAUCCGCUUGAUAUUUAAUUAUGAUCAGGGUCUUGAUCAAGUAGCAAUUACAGGCUGCUCUCUUCAACUUGAUAGUCGACAUGGGUGGCUUCACCUUCAUAAAGGCCGUCCACCUUCUUAGAGGCAACAAGUGUACCAUCAUGAAUCACGUCGCGCUGGGUGUAGGUGAAGGGAAGCUGGAUUUUGGCCCUAGACACCGUCAUGUGGACAAAAGAUUGGGUUCUGGGCGGCACCUGUAGUGUCAAGCUUGUCGACAUCUCGCUCUCCUCCACUUUCGUCUCCCCUGCCACAUGCUCUCCCUGAUAUCCUGCUUCCACCUCCAGGCUCACCGUUGUCUCCGCUCGGAUGAACUUGAGCACUGGAAGCCGAGCAGAUACAGUGGAAGUGAUGCCAUAUUGUACCCCUACCUGCAGCCAGGAAAUUGUUCAGGGCAGUCCAACCAAACAUAUGUAUGGUCCUAUAUUAAUUAAUUCCAACCAAACAUAUGUAUGAUCCUAUAUUAAUUAAUUCAUUAAUCCAAACCUAGCUACCUAGCUAGCUAACUACCUGCCACGAGUGUGUCGUCUCCCAAUGGUUGCUCUGAUACUCUGAGUACCUGAACGCCAAGUGCGCCUCUUGAGUGGACACCUUAGACCCGUUGACAACAUUCUUGGUCAAAACAGCCACCGGUGUGGGCUCCAAUAUCUUCAUGUCGUCGUAUAAGAACUGGAUGUUGGAUAGCUGUCUGGACCGUACCGUGUCCUCGAUUAGGAACUCAGCCUGAGCUACGAUGCCAACAUCUCCGGGCGAGACAAUGAACCCGUUGUCGGUAUCCCUCCUCACCAUAAAAUGGCGAAAGAGGUGGGACACAUUUCUAAAGGCAACAGCAGCAAGGCCAGAAAAAUCGAGUGUAACGGGCUCAAGGGCCGCCGUACGCCAAUCAUUUCUAUUACUGGAAGCUUGAUAGACGCCGCCAAUCCCCCUGACAAGAUAGGCAUCAGGGAGAGUCAUGGGGACGAGGACCACAGAACGGAGUCGAGCAGGGACCACCCGAAACUGUGCUACCCGAUCCCGUCGGUCAUUACUUGUGAACAUAGCCCGAUGCACGGCUUGACCAGUUGUAGUAGUCGCCCGAACUACCUGCAGGUAUCGGUUGUUGUCGGCUUUAAAGCAGACUAGGGUGGGCAGAGUUGGGAGCAUGUCUAGAUCGGACUGGCCAAAUCUUGCGGAAAUCACGGCCAUCGGGUUCGGUCUUGGUAUACCGUCAUCGACGCGCAACCAAAUCCCAUCGUGCAUGCUACGCACGUAUUCGGCAUGAAGCGUCCACAUCCGGUUGUUGUACUGUAUCUCCAGAGCAUUGUUGGAGAUCCUGAACAAAGUGCACGACCACUUGGAGAUGUCCUCCUCAUGUUCAUCCGCAGCGGCCUCUAUACUGGGGUUGUUUGGAUCUUCGGAGGCCCUGCACAGGUACUUUUGGGUGUAACUACUCUUUAGGUGCACCAUCCCUCCUCCUAUGCCUGCAGCCUCCGCUUCUAAUUUUGCAUACGGGUUCCAUAUCCCCUCGUCGACUGACCUGCUCGUCAAUGUACCUUAUAAUCCACUCCCGAAAUACAUAUCCCGUUAGGUAGGAAAGAGACAGAUCACAGAGUAUUAGUUCAACAAAAUUUUGUACCGAAAAAUAUGGACCGGUGCUUGUGACCAGUUGAUGCAUGUGGUGUCGCAAGGAUCUGCAUCGUAAACGAAGAGGGUUGGCCAAAAUUGUCAGUAAAAUUAUCAUUCCGAGUAAGAAACGUCAGGAACCGGGGUGAAGAAGCAGACGACAUGUUUCUUAUAUUUUUGUGUGUUGAAGAAAGGAUUUGCAAGGGGGGCUCAAUUUAUAACCAGUUACUGUGUAGUAGUGUGCUGGUUUAUGUAUGCUAAUGUCCAGGGAUGCAGCUAGCUGUGAUGAGUUAGAUCACAUUUAAGAUCGGGUGCUGGCGGUGGAUACCUGAUAGUAUGAAUAAAAUGUGGAGUUAGGUGUUUUGGUAGUGUCUAUGUCUGUCCAAGUUAGGGAUCUCUGCCACCAAACCCCCCAAUUCAUUCAUAGUAUCAACUUCUGACUUCUAGUGGAGUGUUCUCUAACUAAUUAGAGAAGCAAUUCUUCGGACAUAAGUAACCUUUUCACGAAUGUUUAUUAUAUUGAUUGGGAACGUCUAAUACGUUGUCAAUCGAUUCUACUAUCUCCUGUCUCGAAUCAAUUCAAACGUGAUUUGGUGUUUGUACAGUUGCAUAAGUUUCGAGAUUCAUUAAGACAAGGAACCCAGGGCUAAUCAGGGUUUGGUACCCUUGUGACGAGAAAUUUCAGCUUCAACACGCCUGAUUUCAUCGUUAAGCUCUUCCAAAGUGGCUGCUGAUUUCGAUUUAUCACCAGACAGGCGCUUCAAGCAAGACAGGUACUUCGCCUUUACUUCAGGGAAGUCAGAAAUCGAUUUCUCAGCUUCGAACUGCAAAAGGAUAUUAAAAGGUUAACCUCAGAGUCAGUCAUAUGUUACGGUUUCUACCUCGUGAAUGUUGUUGGCAACAUAAUUCAUACCUCUUUGUACACAGAAAUGCACCGAGAAAGUGCAGCCUCGGCAGCAGGUGAAUACUUCUUCUGCCAAAUUAGGACAGAGCGACAUUAGUGGAUCAUACUUGAUUCCAACAAGAUCGACAUAAUACCAUCUUGUCAGGAAAAGAUGAAAUUGCUUCGCUUGCCUGCUACUCACCUCUUUUUCCUGUAACUCUUGCUGUUUGAUCUCCAAAAGGCCAAGAAAUUCGAGUGAUUGCAGCUGCAGAAAACAACACAGCUUAUAAUCGUGUUUAAAUUCUAACACCAGGAAUCUGGCUGUGAAUAAACAACAUAAUUGCAGCACCUUAGAACCAAGCUAAGGAACUUGUCAUGGAUGAAAGGGAUCUAAUUUGUGCAUGUACGAAGCUAAAUAGGAAUAAGAAAGAAAAGCCAUGCAGCCAUGGCAUCAUGAUGAUAUAUCUUCUUUGUUUUUCCCUAUUCUUUUGGAGGCAGCGGAAGAGAAGGAAACUAACCAGUGUUAUCAAGGCCACGCGUCCUUCCCGUCUACUUCCUUCAGUUGAUCCAUGUUUUUGUCUACUUCCAGUUGGCUUUCUGAUUCUGUCCAAGACUUUUCGUGAUAUCCUAUCAUCCAUCAAACCGGAAGAAAAUUUUGAAGAACAUGCAGAAUAAAUAACGAACUUUAACUUUAAUGGAUGGACCAAUUUGGACCGUGAACCGGUUAUCAAGUCGGUAUAGUACAAUCACAAUAUGAUCAUGGUUUAAGGUCGAUCAAAUUACAAUGAUUAAACAUUAUUAGCUUAUACAGUUAGCCUCGCGAUUCGAUCUCCGCUCCUGUAACAGAUUUGUAUAUCAGUAAAUUAGGACAAACCUCAAUACCUAAUGGAUUUCUUCAAGAGAUUGUUUGCCUUUUCUAGUUGAUGGACUGCUUCCGAACGACUGACGUUGCUUCGUGAAUCCAAAUUUUCCAGCACUGCCCUCGCCAGUUGAGCCAUGGUGGCGGCAUUCUGCAUACAAGAAAAAAAGAAGCUUCAGUCUGCAUGCAUUGUAUAGAAUAUAAUAAACGACAACGCUUUAGAGAAACACGUAUCAAAAUUCAAAUAGAGCUUCUUUAGUUGACCAAUAUGAACAUUUAAAAUGGAUUACACUUCGGCCGGAGAUAUCAGCAACACGGCGGCGGAUGCUAACGGUUAUUGACUGCCUGUUUCCCGCCACUAUGUCCUCUGCUUCUUAUAAGAGGAUAAAUAAAUAGGCAGAACGUCCAAAGUUUUAUCCGUUGGAACACCAGUAGUUUCCGACAUCUCUAGAUUUCUCAAGCACCAGAACUGAACCAGUCUGGUGCUCGAGAAAUCCUGGGCCAAAACUACUUACCCCCAAUCGCGGCGGUGGUUUUAUUAAUUCGGAACGAAGAUGGAUUCCAAUCAAAUAGUACCAACCCAAGGCGAAAACCCAUACGAACUUGACACAGAUGCAAUCGAGAGGUUUCUCAAGAGUCCCGAUCUCAUAUAUCCCACUGGAAAUAACUCAGGACUCAAGAUCGAACUGGCUUCGGACCCUACACAAACAAGCGUAGUUGAUGUUCCUGACCCUGAUGAUCCCAUGACAUGGAAUCUUGAUUUCUGCUUAGAGUUUCCAGACGAAAUAAUACCAUGUCAGGGGACAACGACCAUGGGUGUGGAUCAGUUGGGAUCAGUUGAUGAUUCCGGCGACAAGUGUAAGGAAAAAUCUCCGGCGGGAUUGGGUUCACCGUCAGAUUAUGAAACACAGAGGCCGUACUAUUGGUACUAUGAAGAUACGUCAAUUCCAGGAGGGGAAAUGGAAACAGAAGAAGUUCCAUUAGUCAGCGUCAAUGCCAAUACGUUGAAUGCAGCGCUUCCACAGCCUUUCAACUGCAGUUUCUGUCAAGUUUUGAGAGAAAUCGUGCACUCAGAUGGUGGUAUAUGCUUCUUCUCCUCCUUCAUCUUUCCUCUCUGUUCGGUUACAUUCUUCAGUAAUGCAAAAUGUUAUAAUUGUGUGAAUAAUUUUGUAUUUCUUUCCGGUGGUGGUUGGCAGGGAGGAUAACCACUAAACUUGAGAUCCUUGGGAAUGUGGGCAUGAUUUUCCAUGCCAUUCUAGAGAGCCACCAAUAUUUCACAGAUUGCCCACUGGAGUCUUACUUCCAAAUUUUCGAGUCAGUACUCCCCUUUUAGAAGACAGUUGAUUAGUAAAUUAAGUGUCUUUUUUGUGGGGUGUUAAGAGUCUAAUGUUGCAUUAUAUCUCAAUGUCCGCAGUCUUACCGGCAAAAGCUUGGAAGAAGUAAAGCAAUUGACUAAAGAAUAUUGUAUUGGGAGAGAAAGGAAAGGGUUCUUCAUGGAACAAGAUAACUACUCAAAUUCUAUGGAGCUUUGUGCGUUGGAUAUGACUGGAAUGACAUUCUGGAAGUUCACUCCCCCACUACCUCUGGUUUUUCUUCUUCCUCGUUCAUUUUUUCUCUCAUGUUUAUCAUAAAAAAUAGUCGACUCUAAGACUGGCUGGGGGGGGGGAAGGUGAGAAAAUUCAUGCACUCAAAUAAUCACAGCGUGGAAGAAUAUGCACGACUGCAAGGAUCACUUGAAAAUCUCCAGCAGCAGUUGGAUGUCAUUGUCACUAGGGGAUAUUGACUUUCAACUGGAGCGAUAAUUGGGCGCUGUUAUAUCAUAUAAUUGGUGAUCUCACAUCACCUACGCUAUGUAUUAAGAUUUCGUGAAGUUCAAUUAUUGAAUAAAGUUUAGCAAGGUAUUAGAUUGUUGAUAUUGUUUUUGUAAAUAUAGUCUAUUCAACUGAUCAAAUGAUCUUAUGGCUUGGCCCUAGAGAUGACAGGUUAAACUAUCAGAGCAGUAUUUUCCAAGUUCAUUGUCUAGAAGUGUUAUAUUUUUCAAUUGAUUAUCUCAAUGCUAACACUACAACGUAAUCAAAACCAAACAUGCAGCAUACGUGGAUCAUAUAGAAUGUAAUCCAUGACGAUUAAUUAAAACGGGCAUCAAACCUGAAUAUGGUCCUCGGGAAGUAAGCUUUUCUGACCAUCGAGGCACCUGUAACGAUGUAGAAAAGGAUUUCAAGUUAUUGAAAGUCCUACCCACCCUGCAGUGAUCAGGUUGGUACAUCAUCGGCUUACAUUUCAAGAAGUUCUUGUGCAUCACUGAAGUUCCCAGCGGACACUAGGGUCUGGACUAGCCCUUGAGCUGUCAUCAAAGUGUCCAUAGAUUUCCAACCCUGUGCCAUGAGAUCGACAUCAAAUUUGACGCAAUACGCCAGCGGCAGGCUCUUUCUGAGCCUUUUAUCUCUUGAAAAUGGAAAUAAAACCUCUAGAUGCACUGAAAGAGAUGAAAAGAUACGAGGAAAUGGAAGUAACACCUUUGACAAUUCCAUGAUAUGCAGAACCUUUCUCUGUACAUUUUCAGCUUCCACAAGACGGCUGGACUUCAAAUAUAUCUACGAAAUAUAGCAAGAAAAAGAUCAAAUUAUUUAUUAAAAAAAAGAUAGUGAUGGCAGACAGAUUGAGAAGUAUCAUUCUAAAUCAUACAGGACAUAAUAGGGUGACAACCUGGGCUAGAUAACGCAAUCUCCUUAUACAUGUAGCCGAUUCCCCUUGUCCACUGUCCUAUAUUCAAGUACAUUCAAAAUGUUAAAGGCUGUGUUUGGAGACCCAAGUUUAAGCAAGUAACCAAGUACUAUACAGCAGCGCACCUCUGCUAUCCUAAUGGAAUCCUGGAUGAGAACUUCAGCAUCCAUUUGUUUACCCAUAAGAAACCUCACCUGAAUUGAGGCCACAGAGCAGUCCCAAAGUUAAAAGAGAAAAAACAAGGUAGGAUUUGAGAGGAGACCGCAUAUAAAAUUGGAAGCUGAUGAUUUCGAAAGGAUAUGAGAUGAAAAUUACAAAACAUAAAAAAUCAAUAUAUACAAGCAACAAUGACGCCUACAAGAAAGUGUGAUAUGUUCACAUUCAAAACUUGAGGACAUCUUUUGUAGAUAUGGAUGGUUAAUUUAACAUUACAGAUUUUAACUGCUUUUGGGGUACAAAAGUAACAAAACAUGAUGAGUGAAUGCAUUAUGGAAUUAACACAGGAAAAUACCACACCAAUUAGCAACACAAUGUAGCACAACAACUAUAACAUAGAAGGUUAUACCGUCCCAAGAUGAUACAUUGUGUCUGCAUAGUCUGGAUUAUUAAAUCCAAGAACGCGACCCUUGAUCUGUCAUAUGCAACAUGCAAUCAGAAUGAAAAGGAGCUACAAUUCCUUCAUGUAAACAGAAAAAAAUAAUUUGCUACAAGAAAUGAAAUACAGUUCGAAACAGUUAAAGUCGAUCCAAAAAAGAGGUCCAACAGUGCACGCAUCUGAGAAAACAGACCUUCAGAGAACGCUGCCCAAGGAAAGAGGAGGAAAAAACAAAAAUCAGCAUGAAGUUAUCAGUAGAUCAGCUAGAUGAAUAAACUCUUCCAUCAGAAAAUACACAUAGCAAAAAGGAACAAGGAACUUGUUAUUAUAGGUAGAUUCGUCAAAGAUACAUUCUACCAAUCUAACUCAUUCACACGCUGUAUAAGUUGGAAAUAGUUUAGCAACGCAAAUAACUUAUGUACCAAUUAGUUGGUAUACUGUGUACUUUUCAUUUGAAUUCUAAGCGCUUAUCAUGUUUUCACCGUAGCUAAACUCUUCCGCAUUGCCGAUGUUCAAUUAACUUAGACUACUGAAGAUCCGAAUGAAUCCAUCUAAAACGGAAACCACAAGCAGAGCUACUGUAGAUAUCAAUAAAAGAUCCACAUUAAUCAAUUCACUGUUUCACAUAACUGAAAUAAAUAAUUGGGGAAGUUCCGGCAAAUGGCCAUUACCUCGUAGCAUUUACAGGCUUCUUCCAGUUUCCGCUGCACAAGAUAGAAUUGCCCCAUGUUGUGAAGAGCCGCACCUACACUAUGAUAAAUAUAUGCAGUACCCAUGAGUACUAAUGACAAAGUUGCUAACCAUGGAAGGAAAUCAAUGUUCAGUUAUUAAAGCAAGACCACAAACUUGUGAUAUAGCAAACGUGAUACAUGCAGCUGAGGUAGCAAUGCAAAUGGAGUUAGAGUCAUAGUAAAAUACUAUAUUCUUUCCCUAAUGAAAAACAAGAGUUACAGUAACACACGAGUCAAAGAAUCAUCGUUGAUGCAACCAUGCAACAACUUUCUAUCAGGAUAUUUAUAGUUAUAUUAAAAAAAACCAUAUCAUGAUGAUAGUCUAACUUUUACGCCAAGAUAUAUGACACACUAGGAGUCCCAAACACCUACCGCACAUCUUCUGGACCAAAUGCUUCCUCCAGUACAUUUAUGGCCUUCAAAUACAAAGGUUCUGCUUUAUUGAACUCCUUCUUAACUCUAUAUAGUUCCGCCUGUAAAGGGAAGAAAUUACAAUUACAAUGAGGAUUACCUUGUAUAGCCCGAGACAAAUUCCUACUGAGAGCUCAAAAAUUUUCCUGUGGCAAACUUAUAUGUAUAGAUUAUUCCAGGUUAAUAACAAUCAAAAAUUUCUUCUCCUUCAAAUGAAAGAGAAGACCCAGAUGUUUCAACAUGGUGAAAUGGGGCACAAAGAAGCUUGGGACAGCACAAGACAAGAGGCCUGUGUUAUUCAGCUAUUUUCUCUUACACUAAAACUGACAUUAGGGACCGACAACUACACUUGAAAUAACCUAUUAUCUAGUAGUCAGGUUAGCUUUAAGUAGGUACGGACCAAAUUGUUGCAUGCGGAUGCAACAUGGGGAUCUUUCUCUCCGAACCCUUCUUUGGCUUCAUUCAAUGCAGAAAUGAAGAGCUUUUCUGCAUUGUCCAAUUUCCCCUGUGAAGAAAACAAGCAACAAGCUUUCCAUCAACCCCAAAUCAUAGCUUCUGAUAGAAUGAAUGGAGGCAAAACAAGAAAACAAGAACAGAAGAAGCAACAGAAAAGAUGCCUGCCUGAAGGAAAAAAUCUCGCCCACUGUCUGUAAAAACUCUCCACUUAGAAGUAUGUAUAUUUGACACUACGGAACCAUCGUCAAUUUUCUGCAAGCCAAUUUCGCCAGUCUCUUCCAAUUCAGUUUUAGGAUUACUCUCUACAGAAGCAUCUGCUAGUACAAGGUUUCCAUCAAUCCCGAUGAAAAUUGCUGCAAGUAUGUUGAAAUCGUCAGCUGAAAAAUACAGCACUCCAUAGUUGCAUUUCUCAGUAGCACAUGUAAACAAAUCUCAACCUGCUUGUCCAGCAGCAAUAAUCCAUAGAAGAGAACGAUUUUCAUUCCUCCCCCAAGUUGAACCGCCAAAUCCAAAUUCAUUGGCUCUGAUACUCCUUCCUGUAAGAGAAACUAGCAUUCAAUUGCUUGGAGGUUGGUUUUAACAGGAGCAGAAGCUAAUGCCAUGGCUAGGUAAGAAACAAACAAACAAACAAAAGGUGAUGAUGAAAUUUCGACGCCCGUGAGAAAGAAUUCAAGAAUUGAAGUCAAAUUUCCAGUCAUACAUUAACGCCAAAGCUGGAUAUGAACAGUGAUUCUGGAAUUGUCAAUCUAAUUCGGAAAAAUUUGUACGAGAACUACGGAGUAAUGACGGAUUCCCGCAAUAACAAAAUACAAUUGGAUAGACUGUGAUCAAGCCGAUCAGCUCACCAGUUUGCUGAAAACAGGUUCUCACUUACCAGACUGUGAAGUGGAGGAAACAAGGAGUGGUUUUACGGAAGGAGUGGCGAGCUGGGUAGGAACUUCAAUCCUUCUGGCCAGAGACGCUGCUGCUCGACGAAGUAGCUGGAAUUGCAUAGCUGGUUGGUCAGUAGCUGCUGCCUGCCGACGAUCUCAAAAGCAGACGAUUGGACCUUCGGGAAUCGGGAGGUUUCGGUAGGGGUUUUGUAAUUUUGAGUUUUGUCUGUUCUCUUGCUUAAUCGCUUUGGAUAUAUAACAAUGGUGCUCCUCUGUAUUUGGCUUAUAUACAAAACCAUCCCUCAUAUUUAAAAUGUGACAGAUGAGGGUCAAAUACAUGGUCUUAUAACUUUGAAUCGAGUUAAGUACAGAUCAUGAUAUUCAAAAUAUUACACACUAAUCACUAAAUAUAAAAAUAGGAGAAAUUAAAAUUUUCCCAAAACGUUAGUUUCAUAAUCAAUAUGUAAUAUAUUAUUUAAGAUAAAAACAUAACCCGAGUCAAAGUUAUAGGAUUUAUUGAGUAUUCGAGUAUUUAACCCGACUUUUUUCCUAUAGGCAUUUAAGUAUUUAACAAACUAGUUAGGUUGAUAACACCUUUAUAGUUUAUCAUCCAUUCGUUGACCAAUUGAUGUGGAUGACUCAUUUCAUCCAGUUAGCAAGCAUCACGUAUUCGGCAGGUACGUUGACUUUUAAAUUGAAUAAACUAAAUUUCAGUCUUAUAUUCGUGGCCUUGUAGGUUAAACGAGUUGGGUGUGGUGGGUUGGUUAGUUUCAAAAGGUCUUUGCCAAUCACAGCAAACUAGACACCCCACAUCGACGAUUGAUUCACUCUUUUUUUGAAAACGGCCUACUAUCUCCUCCUCCAAUUCCAACUCGUCAGCUUUAUUUAGAUCCAUCAUAUAGAGUGAGUUUGGCCCCCACCAGGCCCAUUACUAACUAGGCUUAAGGUCAACUCUUUGCUUGAGUGGGCAAAAGCUCAAUUUUAACUUUGGACCCAAAUUAAAUCUUCAAUUUUCUCCCUCCUUCCCUCUCUCCAAAGUGAAGGUAAGACUCGAAAUUGAAACAAUAGAGUAUCGUAACAACACUAAUCAAUAACUUUAACUAGCCGAACUAAUAUUUUUAGUUACAAAAACGAUAAAAUCAUAUUGUUAAACGAUAAUAAUAAAAUUUAGAUAACUUCACAAGAAGAAUUACGAUUAUCGGCAACACUGAGAAUUAUGCACGAUCAAACAAACAAUUAUAAAUGGUUGGUUUUUAGAAAAUUGAGUCUAUCAAUGACUUGUAACAGAGCACAUGCCGGAUCACCAUUCGUCAAUACAAAAGCACUGAAAGUUUGCUACUGUUGGAAAUAUAAAAGCAGAUUCGUAAACAAAGUAUCUUAUUCAAGGUGACGGUAGUAGUAAGAUGAUCAAAACGAAAGACAGAAAACGAAAGCACAUACGCAACCGCUAUAACUGUAAAAGUACACUUCGAGUUUCCCUGAAACAGAGUAGGCUGAUUCGGCAGGUAUUGGUACCAAACUGAUCAUCAUCCGUGUUGGUAACAAACUUGAUCAUGGCUUCCAGAGAAGGGUGGUCUCAGCAAUCAUGGAGGUGACAACGUAAGGGUCCAUGUUGGAAGCUGGCCUCCUGUCUUCAAAGUACCCUUUCCCUUCCUUCUCCGUCUCCCUCCCUACUCGAAUCGACGCUCCCCUAUUCGCAACUCCCUGCAAUUGUUUUCGUUUCAAAUUUCGUUAAUUUACCAAGUCGGUGAAUGUAGUGACAUAACGACAUUCGAAAGUGUUGUACGUACCCAUAAGAAGGUGUUGAUGUCGGCGGUUUCGUGGCGGCCGGUGAGGCGACGGUCGUUGCCUUCACCGUAGGCAGCGAUGUGUUCUGCGUGCUUCAGCCCCAGCUUCUCUAUGGCCUUCUUGAUCACCUCGUAGCCUCCAUCUUUCCUCAUUGACUUGGUGCUGACCUCAUUUCCAAUCACAUUAGAAAAAGGAAUUGACAAACUAGGAGUACAUAUUCGAUUACUAUUAAAAUUGAUUAACCCACUGUCUUUAGUAGUUUAAUCGAUUAAGUAAAAUAAUCGAUCUAACUCUAACUUUUUUUAUGACGAGAAAUCCGUUCUACAUAUACCACUUUGUGAUGUUACAGUAAGUCGGGUUGUCGGUCUUAACCUUAGGUACUUAUUUAACCAUACUAGAGGUGCUAUAAGAAGAUAAUGAGGAGUGCACUAUCCAGGAUUGGUUAAUUGAUUAAGGAUUUGAGAUUCUGACUCGCUUUAUAUUUAUACCUAUUAUUAUCAAAAUCGACUUAUUUCGAUCAGUUAACUGACCGUUAACAUUGAGUUACGAUUAAAACUUAUUAACUGACCGUUUUUGUAGGUUAAUAACUUAAGUUAAAAAAAAUCGCCCGAUUUUUUAUGGAGUGGAAUCUCUUUUAUAGACGCCAUUUUGUGAUGACGCUGCAGUCAGGUAAAUUCCGGAGUUUCCGAACUUCAGCUUGGAUACUUAUAUAUACUCAGUUUAGCAAGUGAAAUGUUGAAUGAAAUUUGAAUUGAAAUCAGAAAGUUGGUUCCCAAAAUGCACUUCGUUGGAAUAAAUUUCUCACUCGUACAAGAAAAUGCUUGAAAUCCCAUCUAACUUUCUAUAUGUCAAAUCAAGACCGAAAGUGCUACAAGAGAACAAUGAAAAAUGCUCUUUGCGGGAUUGAUUAAUUGGUUAAACAAUUGAAAUUCUUUUCAACCAACUCACUUUAAUUUAUAUAUCUAUUACCGAAACCACCUUACUUUGAUCACUUAACUCGCAGUUAGUUAACCGAUCAACACCAUAUUGACCGGUUAAUCAAUUAACCAAUCUGCAUAACUAUCCUAAUUAACCGAUCAAAUAUGGUCGAUUAUUUAACCAAGCCGGCCGACUCCAACUGACAUUAGAAACACUUCACAAACUAACUCCUAUAUAAUUCCCAACAUGUCUUAGAUUAAUGGCUAUGUUUCUCAACUUUAUUGUUAAUUACUAUUCAUCAUCCAAUCUACCUGUAAUUAGUGUGUGCACCAGCUCCAUUCCAAUCGCCCUGAAUCGGCUUAGGGUCAAAGGAAACCACAACUCCAGCAAUCUCUGUGAUCCUCUGUUUUUUUAACAGUAAAAUGUCAGUGAAAGAAAAAAAAACAGAGCACUCGGGUUUUGCAAUUUUCACAAAACUCGAAUUACCUCCAGGAUAUAACGAGCCACCCACACUUCAUCACCAGCAGAAAUCCCCACCGACGGCCCAACUUGGAAUUCCCACUGCAAAAAAAACUAAAAUAAACAAGACUGCAAAUUGUAAGGACGAAGCUAGCUAGAAGAAGUAAAAGAUAAAAAACCUGGCCAGGCAUGACUUCGCCAUUGAUUCCACUGAUAUUGAUGCCGGCAUAAAGGCAAGCCUUGUAGUGUGAAUCCACAACGUCCCUUCCAAACGCCUUGUCAGCUCCCGCCGCACAGUAGUAUGGCCCCUGCAUAAGAUUCCACCAUUUUUUAAAUUGGAAAAAGACUGCUUAAUGAUCAAAAUCUGAUCUUUUAUCUGAUGAUAAUAAAGAAGAAACUUUAAAAAUUAAGCGGAUAAGAAAAACCUGAGGUCCAGGGUAGCCACCGAUGGGCCAGCCGAGGGGCCACUUCACAUCCUUCUGAAGCAGAGUGUACUCCUGCUCGAUCCCAAACCACGGCUCCUCUGCUUCCACUUCAGGGUUGCUGAACACCUUCGCCGCCGCGCAUCUCUUGUUCGUCGGGAUCGCUUCUCCGGCUGGAGUGUAAGUGUCGCACAUCACCAGGAUGUUGUUCCCCCGCCUGAACGGGUCCUUGAAUAUCGCCUGCGGGCUGUAGCCGGGACAAAUGGAGAAAACAGAGUUUGUACUUCAUAGAAUGAAAAGAGUUGGAAUUUUCUUAAGAUGGGACAAAUUAAAAGAUUCUUUUUCUUACUAGAGGAUGACUUCACUGUCCUUUCCGGGAGCUUGGCCGGUGCUGGAACCGUCGUAGUUCCACUUGGGCAGCUUCGAAGGGUCGCUCACCGGUCCGGAAAGUGUCUUCAGUAUGGAAUUUGUAAAAAUUAGUCAGUGGACAUUGCUAGAAAUCGGAAGUUUAAUUAAAUUUGUGAAAUUAAUUACCCUUGCUUUGCUUCUCAAGUCCAUUCCAGACCCGCCGACCCUGUAACAAGUGAUGAAUUACGCUCCAUCAAUGGAAUAGAAAAGAAAACAGAGCAAAUUAACAGGGGGAAAGAAGAAUGGUACGUACCAUAUGUACUCAGCGAUGAUCUUCUCGGUGGAGUCGGAGAGGUCGAGGUUUACUAGAUCUGUAAGAAGAGACAUUAUUUUCUGUCUUUGGUUUUGGAUUAGCUGAAGAAGGAAAUGCUCUGGUUAAGCUUUGUUUGAUUCUCCUUCGGAUGUAUUGUUGUGCUAGGAUAAGGUGGUAUUGAGGUGGUUUUAUAGUCCAGUUGAGGGUACUGGCUUACGUGAAACUAACAGGAUAUUUUUAUAUUGCGAUUGGCAAAUUUUUUUAAGUUUAUUAGUCAUAUAACGAUGCCGGUCAAUGUACUUAAUUAACAAGACAAACCAAACAAAUACUAAAAUGAAAUAAAUUAAAAUUAAGUCAACUUAGCUAUGGUACAAAAUAAAUAUCGCGUAAAAAAUAAUUUUUCAUCAAAAUAAUUCUUUGAAGUCAUAGAGUGCAAAAUACAAAUCCUGAUUCUUUGUUUCAAUUAAGCGAUUCAUUCGAAUUAUGAACUAAUUUUUAGAAAAAAAUGAACCACGUAUGGCAUAUUUAACCAUAUAUUUAUAAUCAUUUCGAUUUCAAAUUUGGCUCUUCAACAUUACGAUCACCGGCAUCGUCCCUAGUAUAAUUAACCUUACCACAGUCAGUGUAACCAUGGAUGUGGGUUAGUGAUUUUUUUUCUACCCGUAUGGAAGCGACCCACCUGAUUGACGUUUGAACCCAGUUUUGGGCAUGAUCAAAUGGCCAUUAUAGUAGAAGCCAAAACUUGAUUUGUACGUGAUAGACUAACUUGUGGCUCUAUAUGUCUCUAGCCUUGGGAUGCUUUUAUGCGGUCUGGAAAUUUAGUGGUAGACUACGCCAAACGAAAAGAUUCUUAUGUUGUGGAGAGUUGCUUAGUCGUAGGGUAGGGUGUUGGUGAUGGGAUGUCUCGGAUUUGAAUCUAGCAUAUUUUAUGAACGGACUAUUACAAAGUCUUUAACAUCGGAGUUCCUAGGUUCGGAGCACAUUUUUAGCAGCCCAAUGAUGGAACUUUGAGAGUGUUGCUACUCGUACGGACUGUUUGGAAGUCGCAUGCUUCAUCCUUUCAAUUGUUCCAAAUAUCCGUAUGGACACUCUCCUUCAAGAUUGUCAGAAUUUGUUUCACUCACUUUCUCACAUUACUCUCUUUCAUAAUCUUGAUUUGGAAAAUACAGCCGCCCAUCUUGUGGCGUGAUAAGCUCUUAAUUUUAUAUAAUGCUUUGUAUUAUGUUUUUCAUUUUUGUUAUCCAUUAUAUGUAUCAAGACUUGAUACCUAAACUUUUUAAAAACUAAUCGAAAAGUUUAAUCCUACAAAAAAAAUACAAAAUAUGUAUACCUUUUAGAGUACCAACACUAUAUUCUCGCGAGGGGGAUUACAUGAUAUAUAAAUAUAAAAACAUUUAAAAAAUUUAAAAUGCAUUUUAAAUUCUAUACGAUUUGAGGGCUGAACUUAAUUUACUAUUGACCAUCACAAUCAUUUAAUUUGAUAAAACUGGAACCGACUGGCGAUGUCCGUAGCAGUUUCAGAGAUUCAACUGUGUAGUUAUUUGUUUAAUAUAAAGGACCCAUCGACAAUCUCUAAUGGUGCUGAAGAGCUUCAAUAUGAAAUAUAAAAUAAAUAAGAAGCUCAUGACAAAUCAAUUAAAAAUUGUAAGCCAAUUACUAAUUAAUAAUGUUAAAACACUUUUAAACUGCGGCUUAUGAGAGUAUUCAAUCAAGUUGCUCAAUAUAGCUUACCCUUUCGUUUAUAGUUUAUGCUACGAUCGAGUAUAUUGUUCACAACCAGGAAGGGACACUCAAUAUAAGUAGUUGUUUAGUGAUCGGUCCGAUUUAUAAAAAUUCAAGGCCAAUAAUCGUGGAUGUAUCUGAAGUCAAUUAACACGAAAAAUAUCAUGUUGUUCAGUGAUUCAGACAAAAUUAAUUAUGAUUUAUGACAACACCUUAAUUAUUCUCAAUGAUUUCAGACCUUUUAGUGUCUAAACUUCAAAACUUAACCAAAUAGUAAUUGAACCCAAUGAUCACCUCCUUUAACGGUCUCCUACGUAGCAGUGCCAACGAACUCAUAUGUCAUGUCACUUAAAAUUCCACAUCAAUAUUUAACUACCCAAAGCCCAACUCAAUCUGAUCAUCAUCUUCUAAGUAGCCGAUUUUGCCAACAGAGAAGGUUGCAAAGCAAGAUGCCCUGAUACCUUUUGUCUCUGCUGGUUUUGGAUUCCUGGCCAAAUCGUUGAGAUAUAUAUUGGGCAACCGCGAGUGGAUCGAUGGCCGACAAUAAUAGAGGCUUGGAGUUCAUGGUGAGAUAUGCAGAGAUAGAUGUUAGGAAGUUUUAAUUAACAACACCUCUUUUGGUAGCCAAUGGGUUCCAGUGGAGAACAUAUUCCCACGAAAGGGCAUCAAAUCAAUACUCGGAAUUUCUACACCAAUGCCGAUAGUAGUUUGCACAGAUGUAAAAGCAGAUCACGCACAGGUGCAAUUUAGGGGCGGGAAUGGUGCUCUUUGCUGCUUUUCUCGUCACCAUCCAAUGCAUUCUCCAAUCUCCACCAGAUUCCCCCCUUUUUCAAUUUUAGUUCAAUUAUUUCAUCGUCUUACUGUCUUAGCCAAACAUUGUCAAGGGAAUACAGAUAGUAGGUUCUAAGUUAUAGGGUACAGUAAGGCAAUAGUGGAUGGUGGAAUUCCAAGGUGAUAGCUCAUAUUCUGCACAUAAAUAUGAUCAUAACUCAUAAGGGGUGGUUUGGUGUAAAAUUAUUCUUCUGAAAAGUGGGGCACUUAGAAAAUAACUCCUCCAUCUAGGAUUACAUUACAAUCGCUAAAGUACUUCACAUUCAAUUAUGAUUUACAUUUGAUAGUUGAGAGCACUCCUCUUACCAAUUGCAAGAGAAUCAAAGUAGAAAAGUGAUGCCGAGUGAAUAUUAUUAUUACAGAAUAAUCUUUACACUUAGCAUUAUAGCAUGAUUAAAUUAUGUUGGGAACUCGUAUAUUAUAUUGUGAUUUGUUGCCUUCAUGUACAUGGAUAUAGAAUGACAUUUUAAAUUAUACAUCAAAUUUGUAUAUUCAUUACAAACUAAAUCCAUCCAAACUACUUUUGAACAUGCCAAAAUUGGUAGUUAGGACUGAUUGGAGUGAAAUGGACGCGAUUACUGUUUAGAUUUCGUGGGAAUUGGAAUGUUGGUUCCGAACGUGGACUAUACUAAGAUUGCUCAGUUUCUCCUUAUCUUUUCACAUUGUUCAUGGGGAGACUAAGCAAAACUAUAAGAGAAAGUGUUACGAAGCGAAGUCCUCAAGGUGAGAAACCCUAUGUAAUUUUAUGUUCGAAAUGCAAUAUAGACAUUAAAUUGAUUUCAUUUGAUCUGACGAUAGAUGUAAAAUAGUAACUAAAAGGGUAUCAUUGUCAAAUCCGGAAAUAAAAACACUACCUCCCAUAUUGCCCUUGGCGAGGAUGGGACUCCAAAUUUCAUCUUCUCUGACGAGAUGGGCAGGUGAGAGGUGUCAAUUUGCAUCUCAAGGCUUACGAGAGAGCACACCAGAUGCUCAAAGAUUUGCGGGCACACAUUAAGAGAAAUUAACGACGUGUUACGUUCAUCAUUAUUUUCAAUAGAUGACGCCACACACUAUAUUUCGCAUAGGUAUUAGUAAUAAAUCAAUGGUUGGUGACAUUUAACGUAAUGUUUCCUGAAUCCAAACCGGCCAGUCGUCAGAUAGUAUCCAAAUUAUCUUCAACGGACGGCCCAGACUGUUCGUAUGGUCCAAGCCCAUCCCAUAUUCCAUUUCAAACUCCCGCCCAUAUAUCAAAACCAGAUUCGAAAAUGAAAUCAGAGAAAUUCAAAAUUUUCAAACAAACGUAUUGUUUUUUUUGGAAAGUUGGACGCGAGUCAGAUCAGACUGAAGCAGUGAGGGAAAAAUAGAGAGCAGAGCUCACAGAGCAAGAGAUAGGAGCAAUGGAGGCCGACGACGAAGAGAGGAUGCAACUUUGCCGUAAAAUCGCCAAAAUCCUCGACGAAACAAAGACAUCAAACGCCACUCACAUCCGAAAGCUGAAAGACCUCUCUGCCGUCCUGUCAAAGUCCCCGUCUCCUCGCCAGUUCGCGGCUGCAUUCUGCAGGACUCUGACUCCUCUCUUCUGCAUCCAGCGCCGGACUUCCUCCGCCGAGCGCGUUGUCAGGUUUGUCUCCACCUUCGCCGGCGCCCAGGCGUCUGGUAGAGACUCCGGCUGCGAUGAAUUUCUCGAGGAGUUGCUCAGGUUCUUACUAACUGCUUCUGCCGCCGCCAAUAAGACCGCCAGGUUUAGGGCCUGUCAGAUGAUAUCUGAGGUAUUUGGUUGCUCAAUUUCACAUUUCGUAUUGAAAUUUCUGCUCGUUUAUUGGAUGCUGGUUGUUCGUUUGGAGUGACCCGCAUUUGACCUAUUUCUUCAAGUCUGAAGAUAGAACCAAGCAUUGCCAAAAUUGUUUCUCGGUUUUGAAAUAUUGAGAGUUUGUUCAGUGAUUCAUCUGAGAUUUUGGAUAGCCUUGCGGCAGAAUUUUCAGCUUUGAGGCGAAAGUAUGACCCUAGUUGGUUACAAAGAAGAUACCAAUAAGGAGUAGUGAAAACAAGAUUAUGAGCUCCUAUGGAUUCCAUUAGUAAGAUAGUUUGGUAUUGGCGUAUUGCAGCUUACAUGCUGUCAGUUUUCAGCAUCUUGAAUCAGUUUUGCCUAAGUAGCUGUUCUUGCUUUGAGUUUCGAUUUAGUUAAGUAGCAUUCUGUUUGUUGAUACGGCAGAUAAAGGUUGCACCAUUGAAUAGUCUGGAGGGUGUUUCUUCUUAUGAUAGGCAAUUCAGAAACUGGUCUCAUCUCCUCUGCUUGGAAGCAUAUUUCUCUCUUUAUGUGCCAUCAACAUGACUGGCCUUUAUAUUUGCAGAUAAUUAUGCGGCUGCCUGAUGAUGCCGAAGUAAGUGAUGAUGUAUGGGAUGAGGUUAUUGAAUGUAUGAUGUUGCGUGUUCGAGACAAGGCUUCUGUUAUUUGUACAUUUGCUGUUAGAGCUCUUUCCAGAUUCGUAAACGAUGCUGAGAAUAGUGACAUCCUUAAUAUGCUUCUGGAAGUGCUUGAACUGGAGCAAAGUGCAGUGAGUACCAAUUUUGCUUCAACUUUUUCGACUUCUUUGCUUCUAUUAAGAAGUGUUACAGCUUUCCUCUAUUGGGACAUCAGUUAAAAAGCCUGUGCUUCAAUUUUUUCCUUUGCUGGCUAAUAUUUUGUCAUCUGCUGUAACUAACUAACUAACUCUGUGUUCUUUUGGAGAACGUACUCUGUGUGCUUGCAUCUCUCGCAAUUUGUUACUUUUGGUUCAUUAUAUAAUGUUUCGUAUUAUUGGUAAUGUUGCAGGAAGUUCGUAAAACAAUUCUGUUAGCUUUGCCUCCUACAAAUGCAACCUCACUUGUGAUUGUUGAUUGCACCUUAGAUGUGAGUGAAUCAGUUCGCAAAGCUGCAUACUCUGUUCUUGCUAACAAAUUUCCACUGCAUAGUCUCAGGUGAAUUAAAGUUCUUGCUGUUAUCAGUCAACUUUUCCCUUUCACCUUAACCUCUGCCAUAAUGCUUUAAUUUCGGUUCCAGUGAAUAUUUAACUAUUUACUUCCAAAGCAUGCUUCGAGAAGGUUGUUUGCUGGAAUUUUCUUGCAGAUCUACACUUUUAUCAACUACUUACACUUUGUCUUUACUCUUUUCUCCUUUUCUUCGCUUCCUUACUAAUAUAGCAUUAAGCUGAGGACACUGAUUCUUCAAAGAGGACUUGCUGAUCGUUCCAUCAUUGUUUCAAAGGAGUGCCUAAAGCUGCUGAGAGAUGAGUGGCUUUCUAAGUGCUGCAAUAAUGAUCCUACAGAACUUCUAAAGUAUUUGGAUGUUGAGACUUAUGAGUUGGUUGGAGAAGCUGUGAUGGAUGCUUUGCUGAAAGAAGGUUCAAUUUUAUUUGAUAAUCAGAGCAUCCAAGAGUACAUUGUAUAUACCGCUGGUGAAAAUGAAGGUUGGUUUAGUGUCAAGUUUUUAAGUGUAUGGUUCAUGUAGUACUUGGUCAGCUUCCUAUUAUGAUUAUUUAGGAGAAAAUUAUUCUUGGGAUAUGAAGUGUCAAUAAUGUUUUUCCUUUUUCGUGUGUUGAGAAAGUGACAGUUUGAAUUAAAUGUAAUUUGCAACUUCAUGAACAUAGAAAAGUCUCGUGUCUAACAGCCUAAUUAACGCCUAACGCCUUCUUGAAAAAAGUUUUUCCUAAUGAUGUCCAUAGCUGGUGUAUUUCUAGUAUGGUUAACGAGAAGAAGUUUGGCUGUUGAUGGGUUCUAUUUCCUUGACAACAAAGUUAAUGUUGUUGCAUAUACAUUUCGUGUCUAGCAGAUUCACCUCCAAAUAUUCAGUUGAUGGAACCAGAGUCGGCUCUUUAUUGGAAAACUGUGUGCAGGUUCUUACAGAGCAAGGCACAAGUAAGUAUGUUCUCCAUUGUUUUCGUCACUGAUGCAGUAAAUAGAGAGCUGUAGGAAUAACGAUCUUACACUUAAAAUAAGAGAGGCUAGCUCUGAAGUAGAGUAUCAGUGAUUCAACAGUAAAUAGUACAUCACUUGUAUGUUCUCAUACAAAUUCAAUGAGUAGAAUUGGAUGUGAAAACUUGCCAUGGAAACACUGCAAAUGGAUUUCAGUAGUUAGCACAACCAAUUGUUUUGCACUGAACAUAUUAUAAUGGAUAACGUAGGGCCGUUUUUACUGACUCAUGUUCGAGCAGGCAAAAGGCUCUGAUGCUGCUGUAACAACGGGUACUGAAGCUGCAGUUUAUGCCGCUGAGGCUUCAGACAGUAAUGACCUUCUCGACAGAAUACUUCCAGCUACAGUUUUUGAUUAUGUAGCUCUGGUCAAAGCUCAUAUAGAUGCUGGUAGGUAGUAUUCUCUGGUUGAAACUAGUGAUCCUUUUUGCAUGUUAUAAUUUUAUCUUCAAAAUUUCAGGAGCAAACUUCCGUUUUGCAUCUCGACAGCUGCUGCUACUUGGUACCAUGGUGGAUUUUUCUGAUUCCACAUGCAGAAAGGUAGCUAGUGCUUUCCUUCAAAACCUGUUGCAGAGGCCCUUAGAUUUUGAAACUGAUGAGACUGGAAAUGAAGUCGUCAUUGGAGAUGGCUUAAACCUGGGUGGUGAAAAAGAUUGGGCUGACGCUGUAACCAGCUUGGCAAAACAAGUUCAUUCAGGAAUUGGAGAGAUUGAAAGUGCUUUUCUUGUGGUUCUAGAAGAACUUGUCAGGCCUUGCCGGGAGAGGACAGCUGAUUUUAAGCAGUGGAUGCAUUGCCUUUCUGUCACAGGUCUUCUUUUGCAAAAUACAAAGUCGUUUCACCUGCUUCAAGGACAAGCUAUCCAACCAUCUGAAUUGCUGCAGUCUUUGUUACUCCCUGCGGUACGAAUGCGGAACUCUGCAGUUUCUUUUUUUUCAUUCAUGUGUUUCCUGCUUGAACUUGUCCAAUAAAAAAUAGCGGAAUGUGGCCAUGUUAUACAUGCGAAUGUGGUGAUAACUUCUUGAGUUUACCGUUUCGUCAUAAUAUGACUGACUAUAACCAUAGUAAGGUUGCAUCAUGCAGUAUUCCCUACUUUAUACCGUUCAACAGGCAUCAGAUAAAUCAUUAUGUUUGGUGAAUAUUGCCUACCUAAUUGGCAUGUAAAGCCCUUGCUAAACUGUAAAAAAAAUAAAAAAUGUCUGAUGUUUGUAGAAUAUAUCACUCACUCUUUUACAGGCCCCAAUAUUUGGAGUGCAUAUGUUUGUUGAGUUGAGUAGGAGAAUAUAACCAUUCGUGGGAACUCCUUAAUGCAGGCAAAACAUGUUCACUUAGAUGUGCAGAGAGUUUCGAUUCGAUGCCUUGGUCUUUUUGGCUUGUUGGAGAAGAAGCCAAGUGAAGAUGUGCUGAAGCAGUUAAGGGUUUCCUUUAUAAGGGGUCCUUCUCCUAUCAGUGCAAUGGCAUGCAAAGCUGUAAUGGACCUUGCUCUCUGGCAUGGUCCUCAUAACGUCGAUAGUGCCCUGGGAAGCGGUGAUGCAUCUCCAUCGGAGGGGAUCAAAAUGGAAUUCAAUCCUGUGAACUUCCUUGAUGCUGAUGAUAAUACCGAUGUCGGGUUUCUAGACCUUUUGUAUGCCGGUCUUGACAGAAAUGAUUGGGGGGAAGCAGUAGAAAGUGAUGAAAGCGAGAUUGUGCGAGCUGUUCUAGGUGAAGGAUUGGCGAAGAUUCUUCUCCUCAGUGACAAUUAUACAACUAUACCGUCUUCUUUACACCCUCUACUCUUUGCGAAGCUUAUUGAACUAUAUUUUAGUGACCAAACUAAUGACUUGCAGAGGUAUACUCUCAUAUUCACACUCCUUUCUAGAUAGCAUUUUCCUUAUCCAUGGGGAUAGAAUUCUCAUUUUCCUUUUGUAACCCAUCCUGGCAGGCUAAAACAGUGUUUAUCUGUUUUCUUUGAGCACUACCCUACCAUUUCAGCUAAUCAUAAGGCAAGUACAUGAAAAAAUGUUGCAUUUGUUUCUGCUUGAAGGACAUUGGAUGAGUAAAUUCAUAUUUUAACCUUGAUGUACGUUCCGUGUGGGUUAUGCAGAAAUACUUAUCAAAGGCGUUUAUACCAGUUAUGCACGCAAUGUGGCCAGCUGUUUUUGGAAAUUCUGGAGGAAGUUCUGUUGUGGUAUCUAACUUGCGAAAACGUGCAAUCCAAGCAUCACGGUUUAUGCUACAGAUGAUGCAGGCUCCAUUGUAUGUCUUAAACAAUGAGACUGAGAACGGAGAGAGUGGUACUGGAUCAGCAGAAAAUACGAAUCAAACGCCAGAGCCUACACUAGAAUGUAGAGAGGAAGGACUCGCAGUGCGCAUAGCCACAGAGGUUUGCAACAAUCCUUUUGCUAAUUGUUUUGUCGUUAUAUUCCGAGACUUAAAUGGCCAAUUCUCCUACUUUGCAAAUGCUUUUUGACAGAAGUUUUGUUGCUGCAAGCUUAUAAUUUGUUUCUACUUGUUUCUUUCAGUUGGCCAGCUUCACAGGGAAGAGAACAGCUGCAGAGAAGGCAUACAUAUCUGCACUCUGCAGAAUACUCGUCCUGAUCCAGUUUAGGAUAUCAGGGCAACACACAAUAAAGCUAAUGAGACGACUUCUGAAUCAACUGAUUGGAAAUGUACCACUAGAUAAAGAUGUCAUGAAAGAACUGAAGCUGAUGGCUGAACGUCUAAGUUCAAUGGAUAGUCAACCAGAGGAGGAACUACCCCAAGAUCAGGCCAAUCUUAUAUUCGGUACGUUCCCCACAUCCUCCCCUCGAAAUUUCGUAGAAGCUCUCCAUGGUCGAUGAUAAUGUGUUUCGAUAGGUUGUUUAAGAUGCAAAGACUUCCAGAACUAUCAACUUGUAAAAGGGUUGUCAUUAAAUCAUUAUCUGGUAGGGAUGAUCAACUCGGUUGCUAUUAUUCAAUUUAAUCAAAUUGCAUAACCAAAUUGAUAUAGGAAACCAAAAUGGAAGGUUAACCCUACUCGGUUAUUGGUUAAUUCGGUUAAUUUUCAAAAUGUAACCGAAUUACUAUACAUAUGUUUGACUAACUUCAAUUUUGUUGGGGUCUUUCCUUUAGGCAAUUCGGUUAAAAAUAAAAGCUGGGUUAUUUGGGUCAUUUACCAAUUUGGUUUUGUUUGGGUAAUUGCCAACCUAACCCAAUUUGGUUAUGUAUUCGGUCAAAAAGGUUAAACUUAUUCGAGUUGAAUUUGGCGGUGGAUAACCGGAUUCAACUCGGCUGCGGUUACGGUUACAAUUUUGAGCCGAAUUUCAAUUCGUUGUGGUUUAUCCGGUUUGGCAACCCUAAUUAACUGGAACUUUUGUGUAGGUAUACUGGAGGUGGAAUUCAACUUGGACGCCAACAUUCCUGCUGCUAGUGCUGCUCCUAGUUCUACAAACCAGCAGACGCCAGAUUGUCGAGCGAGCCGACCAGUCCGGCCGAGGAGGAGAGCAAAGGACGACGAAGAAACCUCGUCGGAGGAAGAAACUUCAUCGGUACCAGUCCCGGUAGCAGCUGCUGGCAGUAGCAGGUCGCAAAGGGCGAGCAAGACUGCUGCAUUGUCCAAGCUCCAGGGAGUAACAGGUCGCAAGAAAGCUGCUGCGGCUAGGAUUGAGGAGGAAGAAGAAGAAGACGAAGAAGAUGAUGAGUCAGACGUGACGUCAGAAGAUGCUGAUGAUGACAGUGAUGACGGCUUGAUCUGAGUAAGAGAUCUCCCCCUACCCUCGUUAAAACUAUCGUCGUUUUGAGAAAACGUAAUGUGCUUCCUCGGCACUUGAAGCUGUUGUGUAUGUUGUGAGUUAUGACAUGGUGAACUGAAAGCCAUCUUCGUCUUGAGAAAGGAUUGGUAGUGAUGAACUAGAAUCAUUGAUGUCAGCGAACAGAUCUCAGCCGUCAGAUCUAAUCACUAAGAUCUAACGGUCUGGAUUAUAGAGGUUAAAAAUGGUAUUUCAACGGGGUCACCUGAAUCAUCCGCACGUUCAGUUGAUUUGCUAUCUCGAUUAUAUGUGCAUCUCAUAUUCUAAUGUCUAAGCACAGAUUGGAUGACUGACAAUGAUUUCAAAUUUCUUAGGAAUCAAGUAUUUGUGCCCAAACAGAGCAUUCAUUUCAUAUCCAGACUCCCUGUUUCCCCGUCCUUUGUUUGUUUCUUUCUGGUAUUAUAAUCUAAACAAAGGUAGCUUUAUUUCACGUCCAGCUUUACAUGCAGUCUCCUCCUUUUCUGGCUAAGUAAAGAAAAAAGUAGAGGGGGCGGUGAGAGGUUUAACUUUCGAAGAAAAAGGGAGCCCUACUCGGGCAAAAGUAUAUCCAAGGUCAAGUAGCUUAGUGCGAUUAACACAGUUGGGUUCUCUCUUUCUCCUUUGGAUGAAUAUAAAGUUGUUCUUACAGUAAGGAAUAUACUUUAGUUUCUUUCUGGUUCAAUUAAUGGAGCUAGGCUACUUCAUCAAUGUCAAUCCUUCAACUUUGCGUUGGUUGUGAUUUGAGAUUCCUUCAUAGUUCAUCAGAUAAUACUGCUGCCUUUUUCUUCUUCUCUGCUUUAGCUAAUUCUGAAUAUACAUACAGCUAAUGCUUUACUGGUUUGCUAAAGGUGAUAGCCAUCUAGUUGCUUCUUUGCAGCUCUGAAGUUUCUUAUGUUAUGUUGUUUCAACCUCUUAUGAUGGCGUGUACAUGUGAAUAAGUGAUGGGACAAGUUUGUCACGGUUCCUUUGGGUGUUAUCAAAUGGUUGCAAAAAUGGGAUGUGCACAUAAACUCGAUCAUAUGACAUUAACCAAACCAGACUCAUAACACACUCGUAUGGUCGUGUACCAAUUGGCUAGACCCGACUGCUGGUAUAUGACCAUAUAGUCAAACUUUUGAUACUAAAUGCAUGGCGAAUUUGUAUAUAGGAUGACUAAUCGUACCACAUCUAUAGUCCUUUGAUUUCAAAACGACGAAAUGUUACAUACAAAUUAUUAUUGAAAUAGAAGUUUUAAACUUUAAGUUUUACAUAUUAAUUAAAUAGUGCUGUACAAGAUCCCACACCAUCUUGAUUUUGGUUCGUCCACUGACAUGACAUUGGAUCCCUAGCUUUAGCUAGGGCAAAUUUCCCAUGCUACGUCAGCUAUUUCCGGUACACCACCAUCUCUUUAUCGAAUGUCCCGUGACAACUUCUGCUUGCUCCCCACCCCCACCAAAAUUACAUGACGUAAUAUAUAACUAGCUCUGGCUAGACAAUCCAUAUGAUAUUAAUCACUUUGUAUUAUUACCAUUAACUAGUCUCAACUUACAUGAUAACCACACUUUUUUUAUACCAAAAACUUCUUCGACAGACACCCCAUUAAGUGAUGUCAUCGUAAGUUCACAGGAGUAUAGCAAUAAUUACGUAUUCUGAACUUUGAAAUUAGAACCCAAAAUAUUUCAAAAUAAAAUCAAACGUUACAACCACUCAACUACAACUUAUUAACCAAAACAUCACUACCCAUCUUCCCUCUUUUGUAUAUAAUCACUCUCCGCUCUCCACUCUCUUAAAUCCCUUCUUCUUUCUCACCCAACACACAUUUCCCACAAAUGGAAACUCGCCGCCGCCACCACCCCUUCCUCCUGCUCAUCCUCCUCCUCCUAUCCACCACCGCUACCGCCGACGACAGAAAAGACAGCUUCCUCUACGGAGGAUGCACCCAACAAAAAUACACUCCGCUCUCCCCCUACGAGUCAAACCUAAACUCCCUCCUCACCUCCUUAGUCAACUCCGCCACCUACUCCUCCUUCAACAAGUUCACCAUCCUCGGAUCCGACGUCGUGUACGGCCUCUACCAGUGCCGCGGCGACCUAUCCAUGCCCGACUGCGCCACCUGCGUCGCCGCAGCCGUCUCCCGCUUCUCCUCCCUCUGCCCGCAGGCCGCCGGCGCCGCCGUCCAGCUCCAGGGCUGCUACGCCAAGUACGACAACGCCACCUUUUUGGGGGUCCAGGACAAGACCGUGGUGCUCAAGAAGUGUGGGCCCUCCGCGGGGUACGACGCUGACGUGGCGUCGUUGAGGGAUGUCGUGCUGUCCGGGCUGGGUGGUCGGACCGGGGCGUAUUAUCGGGUGGGUGGGUCGGGUCGGGUGCAGGGAUUGGCUCAGUGCCUUGGGGAUCUGAGCGUCGGGCAGUGCCAGGAUUGCUUGGGGGAGGCGAUCGGACGGCUGAAAACGGAGUGCGGGAAUGCCGGUUUUGGGGAUAUGUUUUUGGCCAAGUGUUAUGUGAGGUAUUCGACCAGCGGUGGGGCCCGGAUGGGAUCUAGUGGUAAUUAUGGGAAUAAUAACUAUGGCUACAACAGUAACAAGCCUCCUGGUAAUAAUUAUUUACUCAUCAAAUUAAUCGUAUGCAUGUUAUUGUUUAGUUUCACAUUAUAGAAAAUUGAGUGGUUUGCAUGUUAACAGUAGUACUCUUAUUGAAUGAAUGCAGGGAAAUCUACAAACGAGGGGGAGAAGACAUUUGCAAUAAUAAUCGGGCUAUUAGCAGGAGUGGCUCUACUUAUAAUUUUUCUUACUUUCAUCAGGAAAAUAGCUUGCGGUGGACAUGGUAACUAACUUUCAAUUCUUUCAUCCUUAAUCUCUCUACAGGUGACAUAUAUAGCAUCAAAAAAUUGACAUAAAGUAUGCUACUUUAUUGUUUCAGGUAAAUAAAGCAAGACAGUGUUGUUGAGAGAUGUCAGAUUCCAAGUAGUAGUUGACAUGUCCAAACACCCCCCCUCAAUUCAAUUGUUUCUCAACUGUAGUGUAACAUUGUUAUGUCUUCAUAAUGGCUCUUUUAAUUCUGUGUAUGAUGUCUCAUCUUUUUUUUCCUAGCAAAAGAAGAAGGCUUUGAACUGAUUAAAGGUUGAAAGAAAUGAGAAAAAAAAGAUGUUUCAUUAUUGAGUGGACCUCAGACAAAAGGUACAAAUGUAUAUAAAGCAAAAGGGUUAAAGCAGGAUUCCAAAAUCUCCCAUUAGGAUAUCUACUACAAUGGUGUUGCAUAUAUGGUGCCAUAGUUUCUCCCAUUACGACGACGUUGUCUCAGCGGUUCAUAUAAUGGUGGAGACUGGCUCGAGCGAAUGCCUUCGAUCAACCGGGCCACUAGGGCGUGAUUUAUGGCACCUUAUACACGAUUUCGAGGCUCUAUAUGAGAGUUUUAAUUUGAGUUUAUGAGAGUUUUAUUUUGAGGUCACAUAUUGUUUUUUUAUGAGUCUUGUGGUAUAGUCCAUUCUUCAAUUGAUAUAAUUUAAAUUGUCUCAUACUUUCAAUUUGCUAAUACGUUUUCUCUAACAAAAGAAAAAUCUAUUUAUUUAAAUUGGCUAAUAUUUGACAUGAUGUUGGGAAUGACUAAAAGUUAAUAUUUCGCCAUGUUAAACUCUUCAAAUAAUAGCCAAAUAAAGUUAAAAACACUUUUCAACAUACUAAAAUAACAUCGAAUAAAAUUGAUUUUUAACUACGUUUGAUCAUUAGUUAUAGGGGUUACCAUAAUGAAACUUAAUUUUUUAGUCAUUUUCAAUAUGCAUGUCAAAUAUUAGUCGAUUUGAAAUUUUCUUGUAAAAAUGGUUAAUUUCCACAGGUNNNNNNNNNNNNNNNNNNNNNNNNNNNNNNNNNNNNNNNNNNNNNNNNNNNNNNNNNNNNNNNNNNNNNNNNNNNNNNNNNNNNNNNNNNNNNNNNNNNNNNNNNNNNNNNNNNNNNNNNNNNNNNNNNNNNNNNNNNNNNNNNNNNNNNNNNNNNNNNNNNNNNNNNNNNNNNNNNNNNNNNNNNNNNNNNNNNNNNNNNNNNNNNNNNNNNNNNNNNNNNNNNNNNNNNNNNNNNNNNNNNNNNNNNNNNNNNNNNNNNNNNNNNNNNNNNNNNNNNNNNNNNNNNNNNNNNNNNNNNNNNNNNNNNNNNNNNNNNNNNNNNNNNNNNNNNNNNNNNNNNNNNNNNNNNNNNNNNNNNNNNNNNNNNNNNNNNNNNNNNNNNNNNNNNNNNNNNNNNNNNNNNNNNNNNNNNNNNNNNNNNNNNNNNNNNNNNNNNNNNNNNNNNNNNNNNNNNNNNNNNNNNNNNNNNNNNNNNNNNNNNNNNNNNNNNNNNNNNNNNNNNNNNNNNNNNNNNNNNNNNNNNNNNNNNNNNNNNNNNNNNNNNNNNNNNNNNNNNNNNNNNNNNNNNNNNNNNNNNNNNNNNNNNNNNNNNNNNNNNNNNNNNNNNNNNNNNNNNNNNNNNNNNNNNNNNNNNNNNNNNNNNNNNNNNNNNNNNNNNNNNNNNNNNNNNNNNNNNNNNNNNNNNNNNNNNNNNNNNNNNNNNNNNNNNNNNNNNNNNNNNNNNNNNNNNNNNNNNNNNNNNNNNNNNNNNNNNNNNNNNNNNNNNNNNNNNNNNNNNNNNNNNNNNNNNNNNUAAUUUUGACAAGAAAAUUGAAAUUUUUUAAAUUAUCUCAUAUUUGCUAUGCAUGUUGAGAAUGAUUAAAAAUUGAGGUUUAACCAUGUUAAGAGCUUCAACUAAUAGUCAAAUAAAGUGAAAACAAUAUAACGUUCAACACUAGCAUAACAUCGAGUAAAAUUGAUUUUGAACUUCAUUUGAUCAUUCUUUACAUGUAUAACUAUAAUGAACCUUGGUUUUUAGCCAUUUCCAACAUGGUUGUCCAAUAUUAGCCGAUUUGAAAAUUUUGAAAUUUUCAUGUCAAAAUAGCUUGUUUCCAUAGGUUAACCCCUUUCGAAAUUGACCAAUUUUAACAUGAAAAUUAAAAAAUUUCGAAUAACCUCAAAUUUGACAAAAAAAAAACAAA